This 50798-nucleotide long non-coding RNA is filed under the name Malus domestica (apple). RNAcentral's name for it is "long non-coding RNA (MDOM_LNC006337)". Lineage: Eukaryota; Viridiplantae; Streptophyta; Magnoliopsida; Rosales; Rosaceae. The record is from RNAcentral.
UAUGGUCAGAUAAUGUGGAAGAAUUCUACCCUGAAAGGUUUAUGAAUAGUAACGUUGACCUACGUGGACAUGACUUCCAGCUCAUACCAUUUGGGUCUGGUCGAAGACGGUGCCCUGCUAUGCAAUUAGGGUUAACCACAGUUCGUCUUGCUCUGGGAAACUUGUUGCACUGCUUCAACUGGGAGCUCCCUAGUGGAAUGCUACCUAAAGACUUGGACAUGACUGAGAAAUUCCGCUUAUCGUUGUCGAAAGCCAAACACUUGCUUGCCAUGCCGACGUGCCGCCUGUACAAUCGACCUUAAUAUCUAUAGUACGUCUAGGCAUAAAUUGGAUUAAUGCAAAUAUCUUGUAGCUCAGUUGAUUAAGAAUAUUAUUCCUUGCCUUUGAGGUAGUUUGUUCGAUUUCCCUCUUGUAAAAAAUAAUUUGCUUGUCAUAAUGCCCACCUAUGUACCGCCUACACGGUCAACCUUCACAAAGGGUUGAAAUAAAUGUUUUGUAGUUAUAAUAGUGUUUCUUUGAGUAAUGCUAGGGAGACUGUUAAAUUUGUAGACUAAACUUACAAACUAAAUAAUAUGUUACAAAUAAGAAAUGAACACGUUUAUCAACAAUUAAAUGAUAAUCCAAUUAUCAACUUUCAUGUCAUUUAAUUUACAAAAUUUAAUCUCCCUAGCAUUACUCGUGUUCCUUUUAUGCCACCUCUGACUAGGAAAGAUUAAAGUAGUUACAUCGUAAAAGUAUUAACCAUAAUACGUUUUUCAUUCUCUUAAUUAAUGUUUAAAAUUAUCUUACAAAAAGCUAAUACAAUUGGAGCUGGUUUAGAUUAAUAUUUCAAUAAUUGCGCCCUUUUUACUUACAUAUCUAAGUUUAUCACUUUAUGUGUACUAGUUUGUUUUGUUUUUGGGUUUUGCACUUAGGUUUCAUUCAUUCGUUCAUUAUUUAUUUCUUUCCUUCUUUCCUCAUUCUUCUUUUUUUUUUCCCAUUUAUAUUUUCUCCACAUCUCAAACACAAAAUGUAAAAACUAAAAAUCAAAUAGCCAUCAGACGAAUUCUUAAAUUUUACUCUCUUAAAAUAUACUUUUUCUCUGGAACUCUCUCAUGUAGCACUCAUCUCGCUAUUUUUUCUUCUUAUAAUACAAUGAUAUGUUUACACCAAAGGAGACAAUAAACCGGUAUCAAACUUGUCAUUCAUAAGAUUCGAAUCUAAAACCACUCACUUACAAGUGAAGGGUAUUAAGGGUACAAGUGUAAUACGGUUAGAAAUAUAGUUAGUAAUAUAGUUAGUAAGGUUGUUAGUAUUUGGUUAAAAGUAGUUAGGAUUUAUCUUAUAAAAACAGUGUGUAAUCUUCAUUUUAGUCAGUUAAUCCAAAUCCUAUUUCUCUCUCUAAACUAUCUAUGUCGCUCUCUAAGAUCUCUGUGUUCAUUCUUCUUCAUCUUCCUUCUUAAUUUUCCUUUCAAUUCUCAAACAUUGCAAUGUAGUUAACAUGGUAUCAGAGCCACCAGGCUCACGCCAUAGAUUCUGGUGGUUCCACUUCCCAUUAUUUUUCAUAUGUUUCUAGCUUAGUUCUUUCCAAAUUUUCAUUAGAUGUUUGAAUAAAUUUCUGGGUGCUUCCGCGAUCGUUGUUUUACUUAUGGGUUGAUUUUUCUGGAUUGUGAUUAGAGAUUUCUCUACUGAACGUGAUUGAUUUUCACCGAUCUUUACUUCUCAUCGAUUUUGGGGAUUGAAUUUCUUGUUCUGAUGCAGAGUCGGCAAGUAAGUACCCUGAGUCAUGUUCACAAGGUGUUCGAAGGAAGACCUGAGAGAAGAAGUGUGGUACCCGAAUUUGUUUCUUGACGAACCGAUUUCAAUUCACGAUGUUCUUGGCCCGUCCUCUGCUUUGGUUCCGAGCGAUGUUAAUCAGGGUUGGGAUAUUAUCUUAUCGCCGGCCUGCGAUUCCAAUUCCAACAUGGUUUUUGAUGUUUCUGAUGCCAAGAACAUGGUCGAUUGGUCCCGGAUCAUCCUAUUGCUGGGCUCGAAAGGGUUCGUUUCUUUCGUUGUCGGGCUGAACCCUAUUCUUGAUCGUUGUUCAGGCAUUUCUUGUGCUGCAAUGGCUUCUUGGGCUUGCAGGGCACCGUAUAAGGCUGCAGGUUCUUGAAAGCUUGUGAAUUGUGGGAGAUUAUAAGGGUUUGAAGUCUGUGACAAUGGAUACGCUUCAAGCUCCAAGCUUGGUGGAAGAAAGAUUGUGAGAUUCCAUAUUCUGCCUUAGAUUGAUGAGAGACUUCUGGUUUUCUCUCUCAGCAUUCUUGGGUCAAGAUUGAAGUUCUUAUCAGGUUCUUGAUUUCUGGGUUUUCACAGUGCACAUAAUCUGUUUGAUUAAAUGUUUCAGUAAGAAAAUGUUCACUAUUUUGUUCAUCUUUGUUGUGAAUCUCUUCUGGGAUAUUAGUGUAAUAUUUGGGAUAUUUAGAUUCAAGAAUAUUGAUCGUCGUGGUUAGUUUGAGUUUUCUUUGGGUAUUCAAUAAGGUGAAUUGUAGUGAUUUGUGGCUUGGUGCGAUGGGUUUUGAAGAUGGGUUAUGUUUGCAGCUUAUUUUAUGUAUCAAGUAUCUUAGGUUUUGAAGAUGAGUUUGUUAGCAUUGUUUCCGGUUUUUGUGAGUGGAUGAUGUUGUUGCCUGUGUAGAGGAUGAAAGUACUGGCUAUAUAUUACCAAACAAAUGGAUCUGAACCCCUGUUACCUGGUCAGUUUGUCAGCAAUUUGACUGAUGGUGAUGUAUCUGUAGUUUCACCCAAUCUUAGCAGUAUAAAAUGGAGUAUAAGAGGAUUGCAUUUAGUGCCUCUGAACUUGUAAGAAAUGGACAAGGAAACUCUCUUGAAACUGGCAGUCUCAUUUCAGUGAAUCUUGGCAGAUCAGUGUGCCAGGGCAAAGCAGCGAAGCAAGCAGCAAUGCCUGUUUAUUAGAUUCAGCAAAGGUUACUGGAGUGAGUGUUCAGGUGCUAACUGAGGAGUUGUGCAGUAUAUUUCUUAUCACAGCCUGUAAUUUCAGAGUCUAACCAACUCAGUUGUUAGCAUGAAUCUACAGUAAGUCCGGUUAUACAAUAAAGUUUGAAGAAGUUGUAAACGGUAAAUCCCAUGAAGGGUAAUUCCAUGAUAUGAAUAUGUAAAUCCCACAAAGGGUAGAAGAAGUUAACGGUAAAUCCCACGAAGGGUAAUCCCGUGUUUUGAGUAGGUAAAUCCCACGAAGGGUAAUCCUACAUAGAUGUUGAUUUUCAAUUGUUGAAAUUGUGAAGGCCGAUGCCAUUGUUCAAAGAAGUUGUUUUUUGGUAAAAUCCAUAAAGGGCGAUCCCGUGGUUCUAUAGUUAAGGCCAAUACCACACUAUAGUUUGUUAAUUUUCUGUUUUUGUAAAUAUUAAAGGCCUAAGCCAAGUUGAAUGAGAUUGUUGACGGUGAAUCCCACGAAGGGUAAUCCCGUAAGAAGUUGUUAUACCGGCAUGAGGGUGUGCUAUAACUACUUUAUAGAAGGUUGUUCUUGUGUAAAACUCCUGAUAGAGGCAGAGGAAUACAGGGUGUCUUUAUUUGUAAGGCAAUGGAAGAAAUUUGGACUGACAAACAGAGGUUUUUGGUCAACAGCUACAAAGAGGUCAUGGGGUACACUUGUUUGAUUCAGGGCUCUGGGAAAGCUAUAAGCUUUGGUGAUAUGAUUUGAGUAUAUGCGCUUACUCUCUGUCGUAUGGCCGUACAUCUGCUUCAAGUUGUAAGAGAUUCAUUUGGAAAUAAACCAAUGGAUGAAUCUUAUGCCAAGUCUUUUGAGCAUGCUUAUCAAAUGCUAACCGAACUACAUGCACAAUUAGUUCUAUCCCUUUUAUCCAAUAAUCCAGUUUUGCAUAAUUGUUUUGUAGUGGAGAUGGUUGUUUGGCUCGUUUUCUGCAUGGCUUGCUGUUGAAGUGUUUUUGAAGUUAGUAUUCACUGUGAUGAUGUUUGAAUAGUUGCCUUCUAUCAGAUAGUGUUAGAGAAUCUAUCUGUUGAUCAAUGGAAGAAAGAUCGUUAUUUCAAAAACCUGUGUGAGAGCAGGUCUAGUUUUUCCAGCAGAGUGAAGGAUAAUCAGGUCUUGUCUUUCUUGUUUGCAGCAGGCUAAUCCAAAGUGUUGACUCUAGUUAAAGUGCUACAUGUGGACAGAUGUUUGGGUAUCAAUCCAAUGGUGGUUUUCCUAAAUCUACAGUUUCAGUGCUACCAUGUCUCAAUUCUUCCAAUCUCAAACUGAGUUUCCCCAGUUGAGAUUGAGGGGAAGUAUUAAGGGUACAAGUGUAAUACAGUUAGAAAUAUAGUUAGUAAGGUUGUUAGUAUUUGGUUAAAAGUAGUUAGGAUUUAUCUUAUAAAAACAGUGUGUAAUCUUCAUUUUAGUCAGUUAAUCCAAAUCAUAUUUCUCUCUCUAAACUAUCUAUGUUGCUCUCUAAGAUCUCUGUGUUCAUUCUUCUUCAUCUUCCUUCUUAAUUUUCCUUUCAAUUCUCAAACAUUGCAAUGUAGUUAAUAAAGGGUAGUAAAGGAGAAUAUUGUGGUAGCAAAAAUAUGUCGUUUUCUGCCUAGACGAAUUUUUACCUACAAAACAAAUAAACACAUGUGAUCAAAGACAAAGCCCCGCGCCCAAAGAGUGAAGGUGGGGGGUGUUUGGCCAAUGAAUCUUCAAUGUCUAAGUCAGUUUCUCUGAAAAGAGAGAGGUUUAGGGCUUAAUUGUGUAGCAAAAGUUUACUAAAAUUUGGUGGAGAAUGGGGUAUUUAUAGGAGCUAGGGUCACCAUGGAGGAGAGAGAUCUCGUGCUAUGUAUCGUCAUCCAGUUGGCUAAGGUGUGUCAUUCGUUGGAUGGAGUAGGUAAAGAAUUAUCCCAAUGAUAUUAUUGAAUAAAUAAUAUCUUAGAAUUAUCUUGUGGGUCCCUGAUUGGAUUUGAUGAAAAUUUCUUGCUUGAUUAUGUAUUGUAGUCAAAUCUCAUAUUUGCACUCGAAUAUAUCAAUGUUACGCAAGUGCAAUUAAGAUAUUUGCCCUAGUUUCAUAUAAUCUGUUAGGCACUGAUAGGAACAUAUUUAUGCGACUUAGUUAGCUUGUUCUUGUGCAUUUGUGUUGUUAUUUCUUAGUUAAUUAUGUAUUUUAAGCUAUUUUCGUGUGUUUGUAGGUCAUAAUAGCAAAGUUGGCAAGAAAGUGCAUUUUGGAGCAUUUUAGAGCAUUUUUGAGCCAAGAUUGGAUAGUGCAAGCAUGGAGACAUGAGGAUGGACGUUUGUGAAGAUUUGAAGGCUAGAAAUUAGCAUGUGUGUGUGCAAGUGUGUUGACCUACAACUCCAAACAUCCAUCCACUACACCCAUUACAUCCACUCAUUACCAAACAUCCACCCACUACACCCAUUACAUCCACUCAUUACCACAACACUCACCCACUACACCCAUUACAUCCACUCAUUACCAAACACUCACCCACUACCCAUUACAUCCACUCAUUACCAAACACUCACCCACUACACCCAAUACAUCCACUCAUUACCAAACACUCAUCCACUACACCCAUUACAUCCACUCAUUAUCAAACAUUUACCCACUACACCCAUUACAUCCACUCAUUACCACAACACUCACCUACUACACCCAUUACAUCCACUCAUUACCAAACACUCACCCACUACCCAUUACAUCCACUCAUUACCAAACACUCACCCACUACACCCAAUACAUCCACUCAUUACCAAACACUCAUCCACUACACCCAUUACAUCCACUCAUUAUCAAACAUUUACCCACUACACCCAUUACAUCCACUCAUUACCACAACACUCACCUACUACACCCAUUACAUCCACUCAUUACCACAACACUCACCCACUACACCCAUUACAUCCACUCAUUACAACUCCAUACACUCCUCUCCCUAGCCUAUAAAUACAUCCACCCUUCACCAUAAUUAGGGGGCCAUCAUCCAAAGACACCACAUCAUGUACACAACUCUCCACCCUUCACCAUAACUCACCUAUAUCCAUCCACCACCACAAGAGACCAUCCAUUCACCACUCACACCUUGGUGCUGCAUAUUUGCAAGGAAAGAGGAUUGCUUGGAGUUGUGCUAGUCAUUCAAUUUGGAUUGCUGGAGCAUUCUAGGUGUAUUCUACUUUGGUUUUCAAUGUUUAAUUUCAAUUGCUUCUGUUUAAUUGCAAGUAUGAGGAACUAAACCUCUUUUGGCUAGAGGAGAAUUCGAAACCAUGAAUAUAUUUGCAAUAUGAAUUUAUUACUUCUAAUUGUGAUUUGAUAAGUUGUGAUUGCAAUUCAAUUAUCUAUUUUAUUCAUAACGGAUUUGUGUAUGUUUAUUAAGGAUGCAUACUUAGUUUUCAUGCAUGAAUUUGAUGCUAGGAUAUAAAUAAGUUUCACCUAAUCGUUACAAGUUUAUAUUCAUGAGUAGUGAAGGUUGCUUGUCACAAUCGCGUUAAUUGAAUUCUUGGCAAACGUAUCAUGCAUUCAUAGUUACAAUUGCCUCGUCAAUGCUUAUGAUUUUCAUGGAACGUAAUGAUCUUUAAUUGUCGCAUGCAUUCAUCCAAUUCAAUGAGUAAAGGAAAAUCUGAGGGUUAAUUUGUGCAUCACGGUUAAUCUGGGGUGUUGAGCAUCAUAGUUUAUUGAAAAGCAAUUGGAGAUUGAUUUGUAUGCAAGUGUGUCAUGUGUGGAGAAAGACCUUCUAGCUAGCCCAUCAUCCAUCCAAAACAACCAAUUUCGUGCAAAUCUGUUUAGUUCUAGUUUCUGUUUUGUUUUACUUUAUUUUCGUCCAAAACCCAAUCCCCAUUUACUUUAGUGUGUCUAAUUAGUUAAAAUCUGUUUUAGUUUGUGUUUUUAAGUGUUUUGAGUCUAUAAAGUGUAGUUAAGUGUUUUUAAGUUUCUUUUUGUAAGUCAGUUUAGUUUAGAUUAGCAAUCCCUCCUAAUCCCCGGUCCAGAACGAUCCCUACUUAUACAUAUACUACAAUUGUCAAAAGAGGGUUUAAUUUGAGUGCUUAACUUUCAUCGCAUCAGGCACAUUCUUUAAUUAGCUUUGGCAAAAUUCUACGAAAAUUUACGAAACCACUAUUUUCAAAGAAUUUUUUUCCACACAACAAGCUUUUUAAAAUUCUUGCUAGACAAUGUAAAGAAGUCUGGAAAUGAUAGUAAGGCCACUUUCAAAGGGCAUUAUGUUUUCCUUAUUACUGGUGUUGAUGCACAAAAUCAGUGAGGACUUUGGUACAACAGAAAAUGUCAAGUUUGUGACCUUCACUAGAUUGCUCCGGUCACUAGUGUGGAUAAAUAUGUAAAUGGAUAGAGACAGGGAAGUAAACACAAGAUGUACGUGGUUCACUUAGAUUGGCUACGUCCAUGGAGUAGAGGAGUUCUCAUUAAUUGUGAAGGGUUUACACAAGUACAUAGGUUCAAGCUCUCCUUUAGUGAGUACUCGUGAAUGAUUUAGUACAAAUGACAUUAGGAAAUAUUGUGGGAGAAUGAUCUCCUUUUAUAGAAGAGAGUUUCUAGCUUUAUUCUGACAUUGACACGUGUCGUGUUGUGAUUGGCUUCCGAUGUUGACACGUGUCGCGUUAUGAUUGGCUUCUGAUGUCGACACGUGUCGCACUGUGAUUGGCCUCCUGGUUUGAGGGAAACUAUUCUGGGUCCUUGAUGGUAUAACGUUGAUCAGUGCUCGGUAGUUUCGGGAUUGGUCAAGUAUGGUACAAACAGUGCUCCCUUAAGUUCCCGAGUGAGGGAAGCUCCUCGGUUAGGGACUUGCAAGAUCCAAGCCAUUGAGUAAUCACGAAACUUCUAAGUACCGAAGUGUGGUAUCGUCUUCACUUGCCUUAUUUGUCUUAUAGGUAGAUGUGGCAUCUUCUCCGGAAGUACUUUUCCUCCAUCCAGAUGUGGUAUCUUUAACCGGUGGAGAUGCACUAGGUAAUGUAUCAAUUUGACUUGAAGCUUACUUGUAAUUUCAAGCUUGGUCAAGCGCGAUACAAACCAUGUAGUAGGAGUCCCCCAAGUCGCCGAGCUAGGAGAUUUGCCUAAAGAGGUGACAUACAAGGUAAGCAAUCAGAGUUCCAAGCAAUCAGAAGUUUGAUUUCGAGUUCCGGCUGAUUGUUCUCAUUCUCCCUAUCUUGCAGGCAUGAAGAAGGAUAAAGAGAAGAAAAAUGAGAAGAUAUGAUAUGAGAUACUUUUGCUUUUGAAGAAGUAACUUUCCACAGGCUUAUUCUUGAACUGGGCUGGAUGGUGGUUUCCUUAAGAGUAUAAGGCCGACUCAAGAAUUUGAGGGUCAAAAUAAGUCUAUCAAAUCUAGAGUACAUUCGACCCUGAUGAUAUGGGGUACUUUUGUUGUUGACAAAGUAGUGGAUGUAUCGGCAUGUGUUCUGUUAUGCUUGUCUCCACAUGCUUCCUUGUAUCCUUCUCACUUGCCCUAUCUGUUCCUUAGGCAGAUAUGGUAUCUUUUUUGGAAGCAUAAGAUGUUGAAGAUGAGUACUCGAGAGCAAUGCCAGAUAAGUAAUCAAGCAAGGGGUUCCAGGCAGUCAGUUCCUGACUGGAAGCUUGAUUCCAAGUGUUAACUGAUUGCUCUAUUUCUCCUUGUCUUGCAGGUAAGAACAAGGGCAAAGGAAAAUACAGGGAAAAAGCAUGAUAUAAGAUACUCUUGCUUUUGACCCUGAUGAUAUGAGAUACUCUUGCUCUGGUGUGGUUGGUUUGCAUAAGUAUUAUUGGGGGGAAGAAAGCUGAGUAUUUCUAGAGGCUUUGUUGAGAGUGCCUUAUCAGAUAUGAGGAAGGGUUGAGCAUUUUUGUAGGUCUGCCUGUCCGUGGAGGAUGGAAGUCGACAUAUAUAGAAGUCUCCCUAAUAACAAGUAGUAAUGAUAUUCCUUUACCCUUCUUGGUCAUAGCAAUGUAGUGGAAGCUGCAAGCUUCACGUGUUUUAACUUUGUCAAAGCACUUUGAAAAAGUGGUCCGUGGUAUCUGGAAAGCUGAUGUUGCGUGUGAAAAUUGCAGACAAAUUUUAUCCAAGGAAAUCUGGCUCUCGAAGUUCGGAUAACAGUGCUUCUUCGGUUUUUGAAUAAGCAAUCCUGUUGGGAAUCUGGCUCUCAAGAUUCGGAGAGCGUUGCCUCUUCGAUUUUUGAACAAGCAAUCCUAUUGGGGAUCUUGCUCUCGAGAUUUAGAGAGCGAUGCCUCUUCGAUUUUUUAGAAAGCGAUCCUGGUAGGAGUCUGGCUCUCAAGAUUCGAAUAGCGGUGCCUCUUCAAUUUUUGAGAAAGUAAUCCUGGUGGGAGUCUGGCUCUCGAGAUUCAGAUGGCGGUGCCUCUUCGAUUUUUGAGAAAGCAAUCCUGGUGAGAGUCUGGCUCUCGAGAUUCGGGGAGCGGUGCCUCUUUGAUUUUUGAGAAAGUAAUCUUGUUGGGAGUGUUUUCUCGAUGUGAGUAAAGGUUGGGCAUUUUUGCCAGUCUGCCUUGCCACGGAGCACGAAGGUUGACACACAUAGGGACUUUCCAGUUAUCAAGCAGUGGUGCUGUUCCUUUACCCUUGUGGGUAAUGGUAGGGUAGCUGAACUUUCAAAAUUUAUGUGUCUAAACUUUGUCAGAGAUCUUUGGCAAAGUCAUAUGUGGUACACGAGGAGCUGAUGUUGCAUGUGAGGAUUAUAGACAUAUUUUACUCAGGAAAAUCUGCUUCUCGAAAUCCGAAGAGUGGUGCCUCUUUGAUUUUUGAACAAACGGCCUUGCUGCCCUUUCUUUUAUAGGGGCACCAAUUGUGUGCAAGAAGUACGUUCAGAGAGUUAUUGCUUGUAGGAAUUUUCCCCUUAUUUUCGUACUUCAGAGAUUUAUUGGACCUCAUUUCUCCUUCAUCAUUUCUGAAAAUGUCUGGCCCAUCCGACCGUCGUUGUGACUUGAACUUUGGUGAAGAGGCAGCCAUGCCUUCUCAAGACAACAUAUGGCCACCAUCCUUCUUAUCCCCUACCGGUCCUCUUACCGUUGGGGACUAUGUGAUGAAGAAUGAUAUGAUCGCUGCGGUGGUGGCUAGGAACCUUCUCACUCCCAAAGAUAACAGACUAUUUUCCAAACGAUCUGAUGAGUUGGCUGUUAAGGAUUCUCUGGCUUUUAGUGUUCAGUGUGCAGGUUUUGUGUCUAAUAUGGCCCAACGCCUAUUUGCUAGAACCCGUCAAGUUGAAUCAUUGGCGGCUGAAGUGAUAAGUCUCAAACAGAAGAUUAGAAAGCUCAAGCAUGAGAAUAAACAGUUGCACAGGCUCACACAUGACUAUGCUACAAACAUGAAGAGGAAGCUUGACCAGAUGCAGGAAUUUGAUGGUCAGAUUUUACUUGAUCAUAAGAGGUUUAUGGGUUUGUUCCAAAGACAUUUAUUGCCUUCUUUUUCUGAAGCUGUACCGCGUAAUGAAGCUCCAAAUGAUCAACCUCCGAUGCCUCCUCCUUCUGGGGUUCUGUCCAGCACUGAGGCACCGAAUGAUCACUCUCUGGUGCCUUCUCUUUCUGGGGCUCUGCCGACUGCUGAGACUUCUCCUGGGCAACCUUUGUGAAGGCUCCCUCUUGUUUGUUUAUUUUGAUUCAUGUAUAUGUACAUAUUUGUAACUUAUCGGAGAUAUCAAUAAAUAAGAUUUGCUUCAUUUCAACGUAUUGUGUUAAAUACACCAAAGCCUUCUUCACUAAGUUCUUUGAAGUUUUUUCUUUUGUUGAAGCUUGUAUGUUGAAGCUUUGUGAGUGAAGCAUGUAUGUUGAGGUAGUGCUCCCUUAAUUUCCCGAGUGAGGAAAACUUCUCGGUUGGAGACUUGAAAAAUCCAAGUCACUGAGUGGUCGUGAGACUUCCGAGUAUCAAGGUGCAGUAGUAUAUGGUAGGAGUCUCCCAAGUCUUCGAUCGAGAGAGUUAACGAAUGAGGCAUUUCCUUUCUAAGUAAUAGCCCAAAACUCCUCCUUCAUAUAUAUUUGUUAUGAAAGUUGUUAGGACCAAAGAAGAGGAGGCCUAGGCAAUUUUUUUUUUUUUUUGAAUUUUCGAAUUUUCGAAAAUAUAUAUAUAAGCUUUGUAGGUGAAGCUUUAAGGUUGAAGCUUUGUUGGGUACCAUGAAUUGAUUUUGCUUCACAUUAUCUUGAUCAAGAGUGUGUGAAGCUUUUGUAGGUGAAGCUUUUGUGUUGAAGCUUUGUAGGUGAAGCUUUUGUGGGUGAAGCUUUGUAGGUGAAGCUUUUGUGGGUGAAGCUUUUGUAGGUGAAGCUUUUGUGGGUGAAGCUUGUGUGGGUGAAGCUUUUGUAGGUGAGGCUUUUGUGGGUGAAGCUUUGGUGUUGAAGCUUUUGUAAGUGAAGCUUUUGUAGGUGAAACUUUUGUGGGUGAAGCUUGUGUGGGUGAGCUUUUGUAGGUGAAGCUUUGUUGGGUACCAUGAAUUGAUUUUGCUUCACACUAUCUUGAUCAAGAUAGUGUGAAGCUUUUGAGAAUUUGUAGUUGCCCUCCAUUUGUUGAAGCUUUUGUUGGUGAAGCUUUGUAGGUGAAGCUUUUGUUGGGUACCAUGAAUUGAUUUUGCUUCACACUAUCUUGAUCAAGAGUGUGUGAAGCUUUUGAGAAUUGUAGUUGCCCUCCAUUUGUUGAAGUUGUUGAAUUUCCCAAUUUCCCUUCUUAUUUUUUUUUUUUUUGGGAAAAUUUGAAAUUUGAAAAUGUGGGAGAGACAACAUAUACAAAUUUUGCUUCCACACUAUUGAGCAAGAGAUUGUGAUGCAAGCCACACCUUGUAGUAGUCGAAGGUUUGGAUGAACCAUAUAAAUUGAAUUUGCUUCAAACAGUCUUGAUCAAGAUUGUGUGAAGCUUUCUACGAGUUGUAGUUGCCCUUCAUUGAUGAAGCUUUUGUUGGCACCAUAAAUUGGUUUUGCUUCACACUGUCUUGAUCAAGAGUGUGUGAAGCUUUUGAGAAUUGUGGUUGCCCUCCAUUGAUGAAGCUCUUGUUGGCACCAUAAAUUGGUUUUGCUUCAUAUUGUCUUGAUCAAGAGUGUGUGAAGCUUUUGAGAAGCUUUUGAGAAUUGUGGUUGCCCUCCAUUGAUGAAGCUCUUGUUGGCACCAUAAAUUGGUUUUGCUUCACACUGUCUUGAUCAAGAGUCCUUUGAUGAAGCUCUUGUUACCAUAAAUUGGUUUUGCUUCACAUUGUCUUGAUCAAGAGUGUGUGAAGCUUUUGAGAAUUGUGGUUGAACUCCUUUGAUGAAGCUCUUGUUGGCACCAUAAAUUGGUUUUGUUUCACACUGUCUUGAUCAAGAGUGUGUGAAGCUUUUGAGAAUUGUGGUUGCCCUCUAUUGAUGAAGCUCUUGUUGUCAAAACGCUUUUAAUGAUCGAGUUGGAGGCAGAUUGUCUGCCCUCCCAUUACCAUGCCCUUCCCAUCCCCUCCUACAUUGUGUGGUCACGGUUAAGCCACAUCAACAUUUUAUAUUGAUUUUUUUAUAGAGAUAAUAAGCUAUGUUGACGUGGCUUAACCGUGACCGCACAAAUAGGAGGGGAUGGGAAGGGCAUGGUAAAAGAAGGGCAGACAAUUUGCCUCCGAUCGAGUUAGCAACAAAUACACUUUGAUUGAGUCGUGGUCCCGUGAUGUUGUGGAUGGUUGGAAACUUGGGAUGAGGGUGCCUUACUUUGUCGUUGUGGAGAUGAGUCAACCGUGGUUUCCUUCUUGGCUUAGUUAUUAUUGUGUAUGUUUGUGUCGCAUAGCAGUUUGUGUGGUCUUACUUUUAAGCAACGGCUCUGUGUGAUCCUCGGAUACGUCACUACUGAUCUUUGCAAUUUAAUUAAUUGUUUGCAAUGAAGAAUCAAUAGCGAUUUUAAGAGAGACUACCACGCUCCAUGAUUAGUGCCUAUCAUCUCUAGGCAAAUUCUGACCUUAACUCUUUGUCAUGAUCUCUCUCUACAUAGUUAUUUGAAAAAAAAUUAAUUCUAACUAUAACAUUUGUAUGGAGAAAAUAAAUCAAUCAUCACUAAAUAAAUAAGAAUGUGGACAACAUGUAUUUUCUCCAAUUGUUUAAAUGAUUUAAUAACAAGAACGAAACCGUUUGCAUUUUGUAUUAUAUGCCAAAAGUUGCAUUUUAAGAAAAACCCGGUACCUUAAUAACUCCAUAAGAUAACUCAUUAGAAACAAUGUUACCUACAUUUUAUUCUUCUUUUUUUUUAUAUGAAAUAAAUAGCAAUAUUGGGUUUAUUAUUGAAAAAAAUUAUAUAUACAUAAUAACAAAAUCAUUUAUAUUGAUAAAAUACAUGUAAGUAUUGUAAUCAUAUCUCAUAUUUACACUCAAGUAUAUCAAUGUUACAUAGGUGCAAUAUAAGAUAUUUACCCAAGUUUCAUCGAAAAUGUUACGCACAUGCUUUAAUUAGUUUUGGCAAAAUUCUACGAAAAUUUUACUGUAAACACGGAAAUUCCUGAAACGAAAGAGACAAGAACACGUGUACAAAAUAAUAUUUGUAUUAAUGAUUUAGGGGUUACAAUCUCUUCUACAAAUUUAUCCUCUGAUUCUAUCUUUGAAACGUGUAGAUGUAGUGUUGUUGAUCCAAGGGCCGUCGAGGCUUGAUCUUGGACGAACAGUUGAUGAAUGAUGAACACCUUCUUCAAGGGCCGUCGGGGCUUGAUCUUGAAUGGGUGGAAGUUCUUCAAGGGGCGUUGGAGCUUGAUCUUGAAGGAGGAUUUCACGAAGAACAGAUAGGGCUUUCUUGAUCCUUCGGGAUUUGCUUGAGAGCUUCAGAGUUUCGAGGCUUCAAGGCUUUGGUGUGGUGUGAUUUCUCUUCCAAUUUGGGAGUAGAGAAAGUGUAUCUAAAAUCCUCCCUUGAUUCUUUGAUGGAGGAGCCUAUUUAUAGGCUUUGGGAAUGAACCACCACCAUCCAUUUGUUUUGGUGGAUGUUGUAGGUGAAUUGGUGGAUUGUUGUAGGUGAAUUUGGGUGGAGGUUGUAGGUGAAUUUGGAUGGAUUGUUGUAGGUGAAUUUGGGUGUAUGUUGUAGGUGAAUUUGGGUAGGUGAAUUUGGGUGGAGGUUGUAGGUGAAUUUGGAUGGAUUGUUGUAGGUGAAUUUGGGUGUAUGUUGUAGGUGAAUUUGGGUAGGUGAAUUUGGGUGGAGGUUGUAGGUGAAUUUGGAUGGAUUGUUGUAGGUGAAUUUGGGUGUAUGUUGUAGGUGAAUUUGGGUGAAGGUUGUAGGUGAAUUUGGGUGAAGGUUGUAGGUGAAUUUGGAUGGAUUGUUGUAGGUGAAUUUGGGUGUAUGUUGUAGGUGAAUUUGGGUGAAGGUUGUAGUUUUAAUGCAAUGGUCAACAUUUAUUUCACUAAAAUUUCAAUGUUUACAAAUGUAAUUUUAAUGUGAUGGCUAACAUUUAUUUCAACGAAAUUUCAAUGUCUACAAAUGCCCCCACUUCAAGGCGCGUAGUAUACAUGUGCUUGCCACGUGUAGAAGAUGCGUUUUGAAGUCCCUUAAUGUAGAUGUCGAUCCAAGGGCCGUUGAGGCUUGAUCUUGAACUGGUCUGGGAGUUUCUUCAAGUGCCGUUAAGGCUUGUUCUUGAAUUUUGUUUGAAAUUUCUUCAAGGGCCGUUGAGGCUUGAUCUUGGAUGAAAUUGGACCACAAGGAGCCUCACGUAGUAGACGAUCCUUGGCUUUGAUAAUGGAUGAAUCGGCACGUAUUUUGUUGUGCUUGUUGACUUUCCACAGCUUUGAUCUUGAACUAGGCUGGAGGAGUUUUCUGGUUUCCUCCAACGGACUUUCCACAGACUUAAUCUUGAACUGGAUUUGACUCAAGGGUGGUGGACACUUGAUCUUGAGUCAGGGUCGUUGAGGCUUGAUUUCGAACUUAAACAUGACCACGAGCAGUUUCAGGACAUGCAUGCUUUGAAAGAUCAAGGAAGUUCGCAGCAUUUUCAUAUGAACCCUGAGCAGUUUGGUCAACAGUAUGAUCUUCAAGAUUGAUGGGCUCUUCUUCCAGUUGGUGACUUGAUCUUUAAGGAUUAUCGAGGCUUUGCUCUUCGGUGACGGUGCCAGCGAAGGGUUGUUAAAGCUUCUCGAGCCUUUUGGUUAGAGCAACGCUGUCCAGCUUGGAUCUUUACUUGAACUCAUCCGUCUGGAUUGUGGUGGUUAUGCAGGGAAGGGCUUCAUGCUUCAUGAUUUAUUCCAGCUCGUUGUAUUGCAUUCUUCUCUGCUUGUUUCUUUUGCGUAGCUGAAGCGGUGUGCAACCUUUUGCCUUUAAAUGGUUCUUCGGAGCACAAUCUCUCAGCGACUCACCCAUGCUUGGCAGCUUCAGUGCAAAGCGCCGAUGUUAACAGAUCCACACUCCUGAAGCAUUUGCUGAGGGGAUUCGAGACAUAUCAGCAGUUGAAGAUGAGCACUCGAGAGCAACGCUAGGUAAGUAACCAGGCAAAGGUUCCGGGCAAUCAGUUCCUGGUCGGACAUUUAAUUUCAGGUUCCGACUGAUUGCAUCCUUUCUCCUUGUUCAGCAGGCAAGAGCAAGGGCAAAGGAGAAGAUGGGGGAAGAGCAUGAUAUGAGAUACCUUUGCUUUCGACCCCAGUGAUAUGAGAUACUUUUGCUUUUGAAGAAGUAGCGGACGAUCAGCACAUGCAUUCGUCGUGCUUGUCUCCAUAUGCUUCGAUGCAUCAUCUUCAUCUGCAUCAUCUUCACCUGCAUCAUCAGGAGCUUGAGUGGAGGUUCCGACAUAUUGCUUUCUUUAUCCUUGUCUUCGCAGUGAAGAGGGAGGACAAAGAAAAGGAUAGGGAGAAAGCAUGCUAUGAGAUACUCUUGCUCUCAACCCCAAUGAUAUGAGAUACCUUUACUCUGGUGUGGCUUGGUUGAAGAGGCGUUUCUAGGGAGGAAGAAAACUGAGUUUUGGUUGCAGAUGCCCUCGGCGAGGAAGAAAGGUCAGGCUGGAUGUGUUUUCAGGGAGGAAGAAACUGAGUUUUGGUUGCAGAUGUCUUCGGCAAGGAAGAAAGGGGUCAGGCUGGAUGCGUGUCUUGCUAUGGGAUGGAGGUCGAAUUAUAUGGUGAGCUCUCAACAUCAAGUGGCAGGGCGAGCGUGGCCUUGUCACCCACGCUUGUCGGCAGAAGUGUGGUAGUUGGCAUAAUGGACCUCACGCGUUUUCAACUUUGUCAGUGAUAUCUGACAAAGUUGCACGUGAUAGCCGAAAGCUGAGAUUGUGUCUGAAAAGUGUCGACGGACUUUACGCAGGAAAAUCCGGGUUUUGAAAUUCGGAGAGUGGUGUCUCUUCGAUUUACGAACAAAUGGUUGUGCUGCCUCUCAUUUUUAAGAGGUGUCAAUUGUAUUCAACACGCAAAAUUUGAAGAUUGCCUGCCCGUGAAAAAUUAUCUCUGCUACUCUUUGCUUCAUCCAACCUUUUUCUUUUAGUAUUUUUUGAAAAUGGCUUCCCCUUUUAACAUUUGCUUAGAUUUGAGUCUUAGCAGUGACACAGGUGCAUCGCGUCAGGGUAAUGUAUGGCGCCCGUCUUUUUUUUCUUCUAAUGGCCCUCUUACAGUUGAGGACUCUGUGAUGAGGGAUGCAACCACGGCUACGGUUGUAGCUAGAAACCUCAUCACUCCUAAAGAUAAUAGGAUACUUUCACGACGGUCCGAUGAGUUAGCUGUUCAAGAGUCCCAGGCUCUCAGUGUCCAGUGUGCGAACUCUGUUUCCAACAUGGGCCAACGCUUACUUGCUCGAACUCGCCAGGUUGAAUCAUUGACAGCCGAGGUGGCGGCUCUUAGUCAAGAGAUUAGGCAGCUCAAGCGUGAGAAUGGAGAGUUGCAUGUGCUUGCAAAUAGUUAUUCGACGAGCAUGAAGAGGAAGCUUGAUCAGCUGACGAACUCCGAAGGUCGAAUUCAAAGUGACCAUCGGAAGUUUGUGGAUGUAUUCCGGAGGCACUUUUUGCCUUCGUCAUCUGGAAUUCGACCAAGUAUUGAGGCUCCGAAUAAGCUAUCUUCAGUGCCUCCCUCCUUUAGGGUUCCACCGAGUACCAAGGCUCCAAGUACUGAGGCUUCACACAAGUGACAUUCGUGAAGGCUUUUUUUUUUUUUUUUUUUUUUUUUUUUUUUUUUUUUCGUGUAAUUUCUCGGAGAUAUUAAUGGACAUGCCUUAUUUUAUUCAGUAUGUUGUGUUGAAACGCAAACAAAACGCAUAUCUGACUAAGAUGCAUUACUUCCCUAUGCACCCACUUCCUUUUAGAUGGUGACUAGUGCACCCAUUUCUUUUAGAUGGUGACUGGAAGCAUCAUUUUGUCAUCACCACCCAUUUCCUUUUCCAUUAUUGACUUGCGAAUAGUAAUACACACUCGUGAGUGGCUUGACGAUAGCACAGUUGGUUUUUUUUUUGUGGCCUUCCUCACUGCAUUGCGUUCUUCUCGCAUGCGGACCAUCUUUUCACUUGCACAAUCACCUUAUCACAAUCUUCAUUGGAUGCGGAUUGCUUUUUUACACAGUCACUGUAUCGCAUGCGGAUCACUGUUUGCACAGUCACUGCACUACAUGCAAACCGGUUUUAUUUGCAGCCUGUUGAGACCAAUAUAUAUAUACACACGCAUUCAUACACACAUGCAUACAUACAUAGGGCAUUGCGUAGUCUUUACAUAGACACUGCACCAGCUUACUGCCCUGAAUCUUAAAUGCACUCUCCUGUUUCUUUGCUGCGACGUGCUCUUCUCGUCUGCCGUGUGGUGAGCUCGGUGUUGGACAAAAAGUGGUGCAGCUUCUUCAACCCCAUCACCCUGCAGUCGGUCACGUCUAUGUUCAUCGUGUUCAUCCGAAGUCUUCACUGCGGCAGAGGAAAAGCUCACCAUCAUCAAAAUUAGGGCAGCAACAACAAACUUCAUUAUCCUGCAAGCUUCAGGGAGAGUUGCAUGAGAGUAUGAGGACGGAAGGAUGAAGGACUGCAGCAUGGUUGCUACAACCGCUCGGGCUUCCGUUUAUCGUCCUCGACGGCGCUGCAAAUGUUUCCACCAAUGGAGAAGAGGAAGGAGGGCGCUGCCUUCACUCUAUGAGGUAUGUUUUAUUGCUGAGGAAGGUUUGCCGCAUAUAUAAAUAUAUAUAUAUAUAUUUUUUAUUUUUAUUUUUUAUAUAGUGCUCUGUCAGGCUGAGGUUGCUAAACCGGCGAAGAACCUAGGAAGGCAUCAAAAGUCUGCUCUGCUUGACUCGGUCAGAGAAAGUGAAUGCGAGUGCAGGUUCGAAUGACAAGGCCGUGUUGCUUUCCCCGUCUUCAACCGCUGCAGCUUCAUUCUUGUUGCUACAGGUUCGUCUUUGCUGUGGCUUGGAGAGAGAGACGUCGCUGCAAAGGAGAGAGAGAGAAACACCACAUCUGGAUUCAGAUUUUGUGCAUCUGCAGGUCUUCCUUUCGUUUGUGGGUGACUGUGCAACUUUUAUGAGAGGAAGAAGAAGAGUCAACGGAAAAGAAGGUGUUGCGGACGAGGUCGCGUGGCUGACUUGGAGGUCCACUUGCUUCGGGUGUGCGCACCAUGUGUUGCAGGUGGGGUUUUGCUGUGUAAUGCCUUUUGGUCACAGUUUUCCCUUGGUGGUGACGUUGGCGUAGUGCUCACCUUUGUAAUAUGGCUUUGUAACCAAAUCAUUUCUUUAAAGAAAUAAAAUAUUCAUAUCUUGAAUUGCUAUUUAUUCUUCAAAGUGUUUGUGUUUUUGUUGGUGAUGUGACUGUACUUGAAGUUUUGAAGUUUCAAGUUGCCUACGUACCCCCGGUUGAUGAGGGAUCAAGUCAUAACGUAGUUCGAAUGAACGAUGAUUUUUUUUUUUUAUAGUGAUUUUGAUGAUGAUUUUGCCGUACACAGUUUAUGCUCUUGCGGGCCAGGAGCCUUGUGCCGUGUGCAGUUUAGGCUCAUGCAGGCAAGGAGUCUGGUCGUCGCUUUUUAGGGGUAGUAACGCUUCAAGAAUCUGCCAUUGAUGGGACCGAUCUUCAAGCCGUCCUCUGCCAUGAUUAAGUAGGCGCCGCUUAUGUAGACCUCUUGUAUUACAUACGGUCCAUCCCACUUUGAUGUGAACUUGCUUUUUGUCUUGUGAGUUGUGAUGAUAGGCCUUCGUAAUGCAAGGACGAGAUCUUCAGUUUGGAAAGACCUUGGGCGGACCUUCUUGUUGAAUGCCUUGGAUAGCCGUGCUUGGUAGCAUUCCAGGUGUUGUUGAGCUUCGAGCCUUCUUUCGUCAAGUGAUUCCAACUCUUGAAGGCGCAACUUUGCAUUCUCUUCAUCAGUCAAACCUUCUUGUAUAGCCAUCCUAAGUGAGGGGAUUUGACUUUCUAGCGGUAAAACAGCUUCCACGCCAUAUACGAGAGAAUAAGGGGUAGCUUGGGUAGGAGUCCUAUGCGUCGUCCUAUAUGCCCAAAGUGCUUCGCUUAUUCUUUCAUGCCAGUCCCUCUUUGUUCGGCCGAUCACCUUCUUUAAGAGGUUGCACAAUGUUUUGUUGAAUGCUUCCGCUAGACCGUUGGCCGGAGCAUGAUACAUGGAAGACUUAUGCUGCUUGAACUUGUAUUUCUCACAGAGCUCGUCUACAAGUCGGUUGGAGAACUGUUUUCCAUUGUCCGUGAUAAUGUAACGAGGCACACCAUAUCUGUGGAUGAUAUGUUCUUUGAUGAAACGGACAACAGUUUCCUUUUUUUACUUCCCUUAGGGGUAUGGCUUCAGCCCACUUGGAAAAGUAAUCUGUUGCAGCUAGGAUGUAGGCUUCUCCUGCAGAUGACUUUGGAGUAAUUGGUCCCACGACGUCCAGUCCCCAUGCAUCGAAUGGCCACGAAGCAGUUGUAGGGUGUAAUGGUUCAGGUGGUUGAUGUAUGAAGUUGGCGUGGAAUUGGCAAGCUUGGCACCUUUUGGCAUGUUCCAGGCAAUCCUUCACCAUACUUGGCCAGUAGUAACCCAUUCUUUUGAGCUGGAAAUGUAGCUUUGGUCCAGAUUGAUGCGCCCCGCACACGCCUGAGUGCGCUUCUUCCAUGGCUUGAUUGGCUUCUUCCUCACCUAGGCAUCUCAGAAGUACUCCUUCGAAAGAGCGCCGGUAGAGUGUUUCUUUGUAGUAGAGGAAGCGAGGUGCUCGUCGACGUAUUUCAGAGCGGUGUCUAGGAUCAUCAUUUGGAAGUUUUCCAUACUCUAAGUAGUCAAUCAAUGGUUGUCUCCAUUCUUCAACAUCGACUGGAAGUACCGAGAGAUGACAUUUGUAUCAUCUAGUAGCAUUUCGGUGGCGAGGGGGAUGACCCAUCUUUGGCAAACUGGCACGUCUGCCGCUUCGUCUUCUCCUAGUGUCAUACUCGAGGCUAGGUUAGCGAGAGCGUCUGCCAUUUGAUUUUCUUUUCUCGGCACAUGUUUCUAGUGUUACGGCCUCGAACUUUUGUAGCAGCUGAGUUGCCAGUCGGAAGUACGGGACGAGAUCGUCUUUUCUCACCUCAUAUUCAGUCAAGAGUUGACUAAUUAUGAGCUUGGAGUCGCCAUAUACCUCGAGGGUUGUGAUUUCCAUGUUGAUCGCCAUUUGGAGCCCGAUGAUUAGUGCUUGGUACUCAGCGACGUUGUUGGAGCACAAUUCGCUUAGUUGGAAUGAAUAAGGUAGUAUUUGCCUUUGUGGCGACAUGAAUACUACUCCUGCCCCCGCUCCGUCUGCUCGUGCAGAUCCGUCGAAGAACAUCGUCCAUCUCGGGAAUAUGUCAAUGUAGAAUACCUCCUCGUCAGGCAAGUCGUCUGAGAUUUUCCAAUCGGCUGGGAUUGGAUGAUCGGCAAGGAAGUCUGCUAAUGCUUGUCCCUUGACGGCUUUAGCUGGGACGUAAAUGAUCUCGUAUUGAUUGAGAAUCAACGCCCAUUUAGCUAGUCGCCCUGUCAAAACUGGCUUGGACAUGACGUAUUUAACCGGGUCGGCUUUAGCAACCAAGUGGAUGGUGUAAGCAUGCAUGUAAUGUCUAAGCUUCUGGAUGGCAAACACCAAGGCAAGGCACAUUUUUUCUAUUGGGGAGUAGUUCAACUCAGCGCCGGUGAGUGUUCGACUCAAGUAGUAAAGCGCUCCUUCUUUCUGGAAUUCAUUUUCCUGUGCCAAGAGUGCUCCCACUGAACUUUCCUGAGCGGCGAUGUACAAUAUGAGUGGUUUCCCGGGCACAGGCGCCCCCAGGACAGGUGGACUUGAUAAAUAUUUUUUUAUGCUUUCAAAAGCGUUGUGGCACGCUUCGUCCCAUACGAACGGGACAUCCUUUUUCAUGAGUCGACUAAACGGUUGACAACGCCCUGCAAGGUUGGAGAUGAAGCGUCUGAUGAAGGCUAGUCGUCCUUGUAGGCUUUUCAGCUCGUGCAGGUUUCUUGGUUCGGGCAUGUUUCGAAUGGCCUUGAUCUUUGAUUGGUCCACUUCAAUGCCACGGUGCUUGACAACGAAGCCGAGAAACUUUCCUGAGGUGACGCCAAAUGCACAUUUUAACGGGUUCAUCUUGAGGUUGUAUUUUCGCAGCCUUUCGAACACUACUCGCAAAUCCUUCAAGUGAUCUGAUCUUUUCUUUGUUUUGACCACCACAUCGUCUACAUAACAUUCUACGUUUUUGUGUAGCAUGUCAUUGAAGAUUUUCUGCAUUGCUCGCUGAUAUGUGGCUCCAGCGUUCUUUAGACCAAAGGGCAUCACCUUGUAGCAGUAGAUACCUUUUGGAGUGCGGAAUGCUGUUAGUUCCUCAUCUUCGAGAGCCAUACGAAUUUGAUUGUAUCCAGAAGAGCCGUCCAUAAAUGACAGUGCCUCAUGGCCAGUGGUCGCGUCCACCAUGAUUUCGAUGAUCGGCAAGGGAAAGUCAUCUUUCGGGCAAGCGUCAUUGAGGUCCCGAAAGUCUACACAAACUCGUAUUUGUCCAGAUUUCUUAAGGACGAUGACGAUGUUGGAGAUCCACUUAGGGUAUUGCACCUCUCGAAUGAAGCCUGCUUCGAUUAGCUUGUCAAUCUCUACCUCAAUUUGUGGAAUGAGCUCGGAUCGAUAGCGCCUUUGAGUUUGCUUUAUUGGUCUCGUUCCGGGCUUAACUGCAAGAUGAUGUACAGCGAUGACAGGGUCAAGGCCGGGCAUUUCCUUGUAAGUCCAAGCAAAGACGUCUUUGUACUCUGAUAACAGUUGGUAAUACUCGUCUACCUCGUCCGCACUUAGCAACGCACUUACGAAGAUAGGUCUCUGCUCCUCUUUUGUGCCUAAGUUGAGUUCCUUGAGAUCAUCGACUGUGGAUUGCCCCCCAUCCUCCAGUUGUGGUGGCGCAGCAGUGACACCUUCUUCGGGGAUCUCAUCUUCUUCGCUUUCUUGGAUCGUGAUGUGGAAGACAUCUUGGAAUUCCUCUUCGGUGUCGUCCUCUUGGGCUGGUCGGCAUGAAGAUUGUCCAGUGUGGAUGAUGGUGCGCCUUCUUACUUUUAGUGGUCCAUUUGUGUCCACCUCCAAGAUUGCUUGGCGCUUCAUCCUUGAAGGAAUUGAGCUUCGAAUAUCACAUUUUUCUGCUAUUAUGACGAGCUUUUCUUCCUUUGACGUGGUCUUCCUAUUUCUAGAAAACUUCUUGUUGUCUUCAAGUCUUUCCAAAGCUGACUGACGAGGAAGAGAGCUAGUCGUGUUGCUUUGCUUCUUAGGUUUUGACAACCUUUCAAAAAACAGAGCUUUGGGAUGCUAGCAUGUUAAGUCUCUUGAAGACGGAGGUUCGGUUUUGACCACCAAUGCGGUUAAAUGCUGACAUUCUGGGUUUUGAACGAUUCAUCCUAUCGAAGACUGACGUCCAAGGGGUGGAUUUAGGCUCAUCAUGAUCUUGUUCAAUACUCACGCUGAUGUGUUGAGUGCUAGCGUUUUUCGCUUUGCUUGAAAUCUUCACGGGUGCGUUUGGUGUGAAAGCCUAGUCCAGCUUUGUUGUUAUCAAACUCCGUAACCGUGCUUCUUCAACUUCCUUUGAGUCUCGGUGAGGUCACGUUCUUUAUUGUUAACGGUGUUUGAAACCUUCUUUCCAUGAUUCGAAGAAGAAGCAAAGUCGUAGCCAGCUUUCGACAUGAGUUUAUAGGCGUUUGGAUCAAAACCUUCUUCGGUCCUCUGGGUUGGGAGAAAGCUUGGUUCCACCCCCUUUGGUAGAGCUUUUAUGAAGCCUUGUGGUAGUCUUGCGACCUUAGUGCCGCCUAGCUGUGUCAGAGGUAAAACUGCAUUCGUCUUGAGCAUCUUUACAUUAUCCAUAUACCUCUGUGCAUCGGCUUUGUUUGCUCCAGUUUCGAACGGGGAUUGACCAUUCUUUCUUCUCGACAUCGGGAUGUAUCGGAAGACGGGUGUGUUUGGUCCAUUUGAGGGCGUCUUACUCUCCUUUGUUGUUGCACGUUUAGCCAGCUCAUUAUCGUUCUUGCUUGAAGACGGCGUAACUUCUUCUUCUUGCUUCUUGGGCAUGGCUUGUCGUUCCUGCUUUUUAGGUGUUGCUUUGCCCGUGGAUUUGAUCUCUUUUGGAAGAGCUUCGGGCACCAUGUCUUCAUCCAUGUAGAACUUGGCGUCUGCGAAAUGUGAUUCGGCUUCAGUGAAUGGUUUGGUGUCGCCAUAGAUCACCUUCACUCCUUCUCGGUAGAAUUUUAAGCAUUGGUGAAGGGUGGACGGUACUACUCCAUUCGCAUGGAUCCAAGGCCUUCCUAAGAGUAAGCCGUAGGAAGUUCUUGCAUCAAUCACGUGGAAUAUCGUGCUCGACUUGAGUUCGCCAAUAGUCAUCUCCACUCGGAUCAUGCCCAUCGCUCUUUGUCCUCCUUGAUUAAAACCUUGGAUUAGUAGACGACUUAGGGACAGUUCAUCCGCCUUGAUGCCGAUUGUAAUCAUUGUCGACUUUGGCAUGAUGUUUAUGGCUGAUCCACCAUCCACAAGCAUGCGGUUGACUUUGUGCCCCUUUACAUACCCAGAGACGAAGAGAGGACGGUUGUGAGGCUUGGAUCCUAGCAGCAAGUCUUCGUCGGUGAAAUGGAUUGCGUCCUCUAUGGCACAAACAUGUGGCACAUUCAUGUGGCCGAAGCUUCAAGUCUUCGUUCUUGCUUUCUUGCACUUCAUGUUCAUUGGGACUUUCCAAGGCCGCUGCUAAUGCUAUUCGCAUCUUCUUUGGUAAUCGUAGCGCUUCCUCAAUGCUAAAGUGUGUUGGCAGACCUUCUUCGAGCGUGAGAGUUUUUUCUCCCUCAGUGGUGGUAUCUUUGCUUUUUGAAGGUUCUUCCGUUUCUACUUCGACCAUAUGGCAUGCAGCGAUGGUGCACUGUUGGAAGAAGUCAUUCGGGAAGUACUCGCGCAAGGAGACAGGAAUGCGUGGCUCUUGCUCCACGGGUUCCCCAGCAUACGUUGGCUUAUCGACUUUUACGUUUUCUUUAGGCUUCCUACUGUUGCGGCGACGGUGUUUUCUCACUUGUUCCACCUUUGGUCUUGUGGCUUGUGGUUUUGGUUUCCUUGUUUUUUUGUAGGUCACCAAUGUCCAUCCUUCAUCAUCAUCGGUAUACGCAUCUUGUUCGUUUGCCCCCGGCGAUGGUUGUGUAGAAGGCGCCGUGUAGCUUGCACAUUGAUAGGAAUGGUUGGGUGUCGUUUGGAGAGGCACGGGAUCGAAGGAUCCGAACGCCACUGUAGUAGUAUGUGUUGCGGCUGUGUCCUCAAGGUCUAGCUCGAUUCUCCCUUGUUGCGCUAGCUUCAUAAUGAGUUCUUUGAGGACGAAGCAUUUGCCCACAUGAUGGCUUACGAUACGAUGGUACUUGCAGUACCUAGGAUCGUUCGUUCGAUUCAUUUCUUCAGGGCGCUUGCACUCUGGUAACUCAAUUACCUUCUUUUCCAGCAAGUCAUCUAACAUUGCAUCCACGUCUGAGUCAGGAAAAGGGUACGUCUUUUGCUCCAACUCUCUCAAGGUGUUUUUAUACUUGUCUUGGGUGCGAGGAGGCUCACUUCUUUUUGUCUCCUUUGCCUUGGUCUUGGAGGAAAUCUUGAUAGGUGCAGAGGUGGUCUUGAUAGGCGCGGAUGGGGUUUUGAUGGGGGUAGUGUUGACAGUAAAAGUUUCCUUUGCAGGCUUUUUUCCGGUCUUGUCCACACUCGGGGCGAACACCUUAUCCUUCUUGAAGUGGGUGAUCGGCUCAUUCUUUCCGUGAUUGGCGAUACUCAGCUCCAUGUCGUGGGAGCGCGUUGCCAGCUCCUCAAACGUUCUUGGUUUUAUGCCUUGGAGAAUGUAAUGUAACCCCCAGUGCAUGCCUUGAACACACAUCUCAAUGGCAGAGGUUUCAGAGAGCCGAUCUUUGCAAUCCAGACUUAAUGAACGCCAUCUAUUGAUGUAGUCGACGACGGGUUCCUCCUUCCACUGUUUCGUACUGGUCAGCUCCAGCAUGCUUACGGUGCGGCGCGUGCUGUAGAAACGGUUGAGGAAUUCCUUUUCUAGCUGAUCCCAACUGCUGAUAGACUCGGGCUCGAGGUCGGUGUACCAGUCAAAGGCGUUGCUUUUCAGCGAGCGCACGAACUGCUUGACGAGGUAGUCUCCCUCUGUUCCAGCAUUGCUGCAGGUUUCAAUGAAGUGGGCGAUAUGUUGCUUCGGGUUCCCCUUUCCAUCGAACUGCAUAAACUUUGGUGGUUGAUAGCCCUUUGGCAUCUUCAAAGCGUCAAUCUUCUUGGAGUAGGGCUUUGAGUAUAGUACGGAAUCAUGUGAGCUUCCUUCAUACUGCGCCUUGAUGGUGUUGGCGAUCAUCUCCUGCAGCUGCUGGAUAGAGAGAGACCCCAUAAGUGUCGCCGCUUGGUCUAGCUUCAGCGUCUCUUCGACGUUCUCCACUGGAGGUUCCUCAUCCUCGUCGUUUUCCUUCUUUACCGGAUUAUCCCCUUGCCUGGCUUUCUCAUCGGGCUUUGCAUCUAGUUGGUUAACAAGUGCUGCGAUUUGCAGGUCUUUUUCCUCCACAGUCCUUGUGAGCUUUGCGAUUGCUUCGUUCAUCUGAGCCAGCUGCUCCUCAAUUGAAGUUGUUCCGGUAACCAUGACUUGCAUAGCUAUGCCGCUGCUCGAGUCGGCAUCGGAAAGUAAGGAUUCAGAGUACUUCCUCUGGCUUUCCUCUCUUGGCGCCCUGAGCGAGGCCAGGGUGAUCACCGGUUCGAACCUCGGGUGCUCUUGUGCCUUCGGCGGAGUUGAUGAAGGGGCGAAAGAGGCGGCGGAAAGAGCUUUUGCCUUACUUCGAGUUAUGAUGCCUGAAGUGAUGCCCCCUGUCGUGAUGACGCUCUUGUUUCUUGCAUUGGCAGCGAGAACAACUUGGGCCUUCCUUGACGCCAUUUGUGCUUGUUGCGGAUUCAAAGAUAGAGAUGAGAGGUAGAGACUGUCCCACCGAGCGUGCCAAAUUUGUAAACACGGAAAUUCCUGAAACGAAAGAGACAAGAACACGUGUACAAAAUAAUAUUUGUAUUAAUGAUUUAGGGGUUACAAUCUCUUCUACAAAUUUAUCCUCUGAUUCUAUCUUUGAAACGUGUAGAUGUAGUGUUGUUGAUCCAAGGGCCGUCGAGGCUUGAUCUUGGACGAACAGUUGAUGAAUGAUGAACACCUUCUUCAAGGGCCGUCGGGGCUUGAUCUUGAAUGGGUGGAAGUUCUUCAAGGGGCGUUGGAGCUUGAUCUUGAAGGAGGAUUUCACGAAGAACAGAUAGGGCUUUCUUGAUCCUUCGGGAUUUGCUUGAGAGCUUCAGAGUUUCGAGGCUUCAAGGCUUUGGUGUGGUGUGAUUUCUCUUCCAAUUUGGGAGUAGAGAAAGUGUAUCUAAAAUCCUCCCUUGAUUCUUUGAUGGAGGAGCCUAUUUAUAGGCUUUGGGAAUGAACCACCACCAUCCAUUUGUUUUGGUGGAUGUUGUAGGUGAAUUGGUGGAUUGUUGUAGGUGAAUUUGGGUGGAGGUUGUAGGUGAAUUUGGAUGGAUUGUUGUAGGUGAAUUUGGGUGUAUGUUGUAGGUGAAUUUGGGUAGGUGAAUUUGGGUGGAGGUUGUAGGUGAAUUUGGAUGGAUUGUUGUAGGUGAAUUUGGGUGUAUGUUGUAGGUGAAUUUGGGUAGGUGAAUUUGGGUGGAGGUUGUAGGUGAAUUUGGAUGGAUUGUUGUAGGUGAAUUUGGGUGUAUGUUGUAGGUGAAUUUGGGUGAAGGUUGUAGGUGAAUUUGGGUGAAGGUUGUAGGUGAAUUUGGAUGGAUUGUUGUAGGUGAAUUUGGGUGUAUGUUGUAGGUGAAUUUGGGUGAAGGUUGUAGUUUUAAUGCAAUGGUCAACAUUUAUUUCACUAAAAUUUCAAUGUUUACAAAUGUAAUUUUAAUGUGAUGGCUAACAUUUAUUUCAACGAAAUUUCAAUGUCUACAUUUACAAAACCACUUUUUUCGCAGAAUUUUUUCCACACCACAAGCUUGUUAAAAUUCUUGCUAAACAAUGUAAAGAAGUUUGGAAACGAUACUAAUUAAGGUUUCCUUACUGGCUUUACAAAUUGCAUUUUUCACCAAAAUUGUUGCUCACGUUUAUUAAUCGAUUUUUCUAAAUAAAAAAACAACAAUUCAUUUUAGAACUAAGCCGAUCUGUUUACACAUGUGUAUGUGUAAACUCCAUAUAGUCAACACACAGACAAUGUUUCAUACGUUAUCUUGAACUAGCAUCUUGUCACAUGCAUACGCAUGCGACAAUUUGCCUUUGUAUGUUAAAUUAAAGUUUUAUUAUGAUUUUUUACAUAAUAAAUUAAGAAAUUCAAUUUUUGUUAUUUAUAUAUUUUUAUUAAUAAUAUUUUUGAAAAUAAAUUAGAAGUUAAACAUAAACCGUGGGGUUUUGCUAUUUUUUUCUUUCUAAAGUUUAAAAUUUUAAAUUCGUUCAAAAUUAAUAUUUGUUGAAUUAUUUUAACUCCUUUUAAUUCAAUAGUAAUUUAAAAAAAUUUAGAGGCAAUUUAUGGUAUUUUGAAAAGGAAAACUAAUGAAAAUGACUUGAAAACUUUGAAUUUUAAUGAUAAUGACAAAAUAAAGAGUAAAAUGAAUAGUAUCAAGAUUGACUUUUUUGUGUAAAAAUGUGGUUUUUCGUUAAAGUAAACAGUACCGAGAGCUUUUCGUUAGUUCCCAUUUUGAAAUUAACCUGCAUGCAUGCAGUUUGACUACUUUGGCCUCCCAGCCAUUCGGUUCUUGUCCAUUUUUUCCACCCUGUUAUGAAAGUGAAAUAUACCUAUACUGUACUACGAGAACAUGAGACAUGCAGUGUUACUUUCAACAGGUGGCACGCCUUGCUACCUCACACUUAUCCUCCUUGAUCAAUCCAUAUCUACACAUUCAAUCAACUCUUGUGCAUUACGUACGUCGCUAUGCUUUUUCAAAAGUCUCUCUCAAUUUCAUAAAAAUUGCAGAGCUGGGUGUAGCUACAUAAGCUGCAAAAGCACAAAUAGAAAUAUUAUUGCUUAUAUAAAAGAAUUCAUACAACUUUGUUUUUUUUUUUUUUUUUUGCGACCAUUCGGUUAAAUUUUGUUUUGCAUGUAUUAGGGUAAAGGGAGUGUGAUAUUCUCUCCUUCUAAUCUCUCUCCCCUUCCUUCCCAUCCUAUUUGAAUAGUUAUGAUUAAAUCACAUCAACAUCUUAUAUUGAUUUCCUUAUAGAGAGAGAAAGACAAAGAUGAAAGGAAAAUGGGGAGGCACUAGAAGAAAAAAGCUCAUCUAUCACGGUGAAUACCCGUGAUAAAUUGCAAUCUACCACGGACACUGUGCCCGUUAGUAUUCUGGAUGUGAUAAAAAGUCUCAGUUUCUACCACAGGCUAUGUCCGUUGUCAAAUGCAAUAUAACCACGGAUUGUACCCGUGGUAGAUUGAGAUCUAACACCACAUGCUAUGACCGUUGUCGAUUACUAAUUGACCACAUCUAAUGCCCGUUAUAAAUUAUUUUCCAAAAUUAAAAAAAAUAUAUUUAACAAAUAUAUAUAUAUAUAUUGAUUUAUUUAUUUAUAUAUUUUAGUACAGAAUAAUCAACAAAAUUGCAUAUUUACUACAAUAUAAUAAUUACAUAAAAAAAUACUUGAUAAUAUUAUAACAUAAUUUAAAAAUACUUGAGUUUCCAAAUGAAUACAUAAACAACAAAAGUCAUAAAGUACUAUCCAUGUAGUGCCUAAUGAAUACAUAAACAACGGAAGUCAUAAAAUACUAUCCAUGUAGUGCCAAAGUACCAUUUUCUAGUCUAAGUACGAACUAAAAUUACUCUCCAACUCAGACGUACUUUGAUGGCCAGGCAAUUGUACUAGAUAUAGCAUCCUCCACGACACGAAAUUCACUUGUAGGGCGGUACAAAGAUAUAUUCUCCACUCUUACCCAAACUUUCCAUCAAUCAGGAUCAAGCACCAUGUGAUGAACUUUCACCUCAGGAUUUGUUGAUUCUAUUUCUCCAGUUGCAACAACUUGUCUAUUUCCGAGCCAAUUUAGUAACUUGCAUGAAGACCCUCGUAAAAUACCAACAGGUUUAACUAGCAUAAAGAAACCAAAUAAGAACAUCAAUUUCAAAUGAUUAAGUUAUCAAACUAUUUAACAAUUAUUAUCAAGCGUGUGUUACUACCUGAGAAGUGGCUUUAGACCUUUCUUUUCUCUUAAUGCUGUCUCUUUCUAUGUUUGGACUACUUCUCUGUGACAAUCGAACAUGGAAGACACAAAAUUCGAACAACUUAUAUCAAAAUAUCAUAAGUUUCAUAAGCUAACUAUUUAGUACUUGUUCUCGUAUACUUGGGAACUAGCUUUGGAAGCUUGUCUAGAAGCAUCGUCAGCUUCUCGUGCACUUCUUCUAUCACAUUGUAUCUAAUAACAAAACAAAAACAGUUGAAUUAUCAACAUCUGCUAUGUCUUAAUAUAUUAAUUUGUACACAGGAAUGGCCUCACAAAACAAAAAUAAUUUAAUUAUCUAAUAACAAAACAGAAAUUUGCUCUGCCGCCGAUGGAGCCACAAAGAAGGAAAUUGGCCGAGCAAAAGAAUACAUAUUGAAACAACUGGGAUUAGAGAAUGGUUAGUGGAGAUGCAAACAAUACAUGCUGGGGACUUUAUGGUGAAAUUUUUUUUGUGAAAAAGGUAGAGAAAUUCAUACAAAAAGACACAUAGAAACCAUCUUCUUAGCAAUCAAUAUUAUAUAAAAAAAAAAAGUGAACAAGCAUUUUCUUUACAAUGUUUACACUAGUAUAGUCGAAUUUGCAGUUUCAAUUGAUCGAAGUAUUACUACUGCAUAUCUUUUUUCCUUAUAUAUAACUGGUUCGUGCUCUGUGUGUGUGUGUAUAUAUAUAUAUAUAUGCACGUGUAUAAAUAGAGUAAAGCAGAACGUAAACUUCAUGGGCAAGUCAUCAAAAUCUGAACAAAUAGUUUUCAAUUCAACAACCACAAAUUCAAAAAGCAUUCCAGCCGAUGGCUACAUACCCCAAUCGCAAUCAUGCAUAUACAAAUCACAAAUUCAAAACCCUAGCUCCCAAAUUAACCAGCUCAAAAUCUGAACGAAAAUUGAAUUAAUUUAAAUUAAAACCUGCUAAGAAUAGGAGUGCUGACCCUCGCAAACAGGGCUUUCAUCGAAGUUCUUAGAGGGGUACUUGGCGGAGACCAUGCCGACCUCGAACACCAAGUUGUCGCCGCUCGACCGGAUUCCCGUGAUCGACCACCACUGGAAGAAGGCCCGGACGCUGAUGCCGUUGAUCUUGGCGAUUUAUGACGAUUCGAAGAUGAGGGGGAAGGGUGGAUGGAUGACGAGUCGAUGAGGAGAAGAGAUGAGGGUUUGGUGGGUUGGUGCAGAGGAGUGGAGGGAUAUGGGAAGGUGGGGGAGAUAGAGGACGAUAAAAAAGGAUUGACGGUUUCUUUUUAGGGUUUUCGUCCAGUUUCACGUGAGGGGAAAAUAAUUGGGAUUUUAGAUUUUAAUAUCUUUCAAAAUAUUAAAAAAAAACAAAAAAACAUCCACCACGGGCCAAGGGCGUGGUGAAUUGUCAAAAGGUGGUGUGUGGUCGUUUGAAGUAACCACUACGAGCAUAUCGCGUGGUGGUUUUGAUAUUCCAUUAUGGGAAUAAAAACCGUUGUAAAUUAUUCACUUUUAACAACGGGCCAGAACUUGACCGUGGUGGAUUAAUGUUAUCUACCAUGAGCUACACUCGACCGUGGUAAUGAAAUAGUUUCUACCACGAACUGUUGAUGCCCGUGAUGGAAUUGAUGUGGUAAAUAUGAUGUUAUGUACUUGUGAGGAUUAGGGCGGGAAAAGAAUCGUAGUCCAAGGUAAAGAACUCAUUCACAUGCAAGAUUCGACUCCAUUAUUAAUCAGCCGUUGGAUCUUGAACUCUCUAUAAGUAUUAAACAAAAUGAGUCCAUCUAUCUCACCCAAAAAUCAAUAAAAAAUGAUUCCUUCAGAAAUAGCCAUCCUAAUCCUUGUAUUCCUUACCUUCCUGUGGUCUAUCCUCUGCAUCCUAAUCAAUGCCUUCUCAAGGCAAAGCCGAAAACUACCUCCUGGCCCUAGGGAACUACCAAUCAUUGGCAAUCAUUGGCAAUCUUCAAGUUUUAUUGUUUUUUACUCUCUUAAUCAUCAAGUUUUAUUGCUAUUCACUUUCAAGGCAAAGCCAAAAACUACCUCCUAGCCCUAGGGCACUAACAAUUUUUUACUCUCCUCACCAUAUAAUAAUUCAACAACGCCAAGUGAUUCUCUUGUGUCUUUUCUAAAAUCAACAAACACUAGUGAAUCAAAUUUUAGAAUAACCUAGUUUAACAAUAAAUUAUUGAAAAAGAAAAUUUAAAUUCAAAGUUAUGGUUACCUCAAAUUACAAUCUUCAGGACCAAGUGAUAGUUGCUUAAACAUUCAAUAGAAAUAGAAAGACUGGGAAGUUAAAAGAAAAAUGAUUACAAAAUUAUGAUUAUUUUGGUUUUUGUUAUUUUUUUAGGUUAUUUUCAAAAGCAAAAGAAAAAAAUGCAUUUGGAUAUAUUAAGGCCAUUAAUUUCAGUAGCUUCUUGUCACACACGUGGGUGUGUGACAAUUGACCUUUGUAUGUUUUUUAUUUAAGAAACUCAAGUUUUUUCUAUUUAUACAAUUUUUAUUUAAAAUAUUUUUGAAAAUAAAUAAGAAUUUAAACAUAAACCACCCACUAACAUGAGGUUUUGUUAUUUUUUUUCUAAAGUUGAAAAUUUUAAAUUCAUUCAAAAUUAAUAUUUAUUGAAUUAUUUUAGCUCCUUUUGAUUUUUGAUUUUAAAAUUUUUUAGGAGCAAUUUAUCUUUAAUUUUAAUCUUUAAUUUCAUAGAUUUGAAUUUUAACUCCUUUUGAUUCUUGUAAUUUUAAAAUUUUUUAAGAGCAAUUUAUCUUUAAUUUUAAUCAUUAAUUUCAUAGAUUUGAAAAAAGCAAAAACUAAUGCCUACAAGGUGUUUCGAACUGCCCACCCCAAUGAAAACGGAGUGGAACCGUUUCCACUGCACCAACGAAAUAAUUGUAAUGUUUCUUAUGUUUCCACUGCACCAACGAAAUAAUUGGGGGCCCUAGACGACCGCCUACCUCGGCUACCCUCAAGGCCGGCCCUGACUAGAACAAGACAUGUUACUUUCAAAAGAUGGCACACGUAUCCUCAUGUUGUCCAUAUCCAUCCAUAUUCAAUCAACUCUUGUGCAUUCUUCUUCAAAAUUCUCUCUCAAUUUCAUGAAAAUUACAGAAGUAGGAGGGUAAAGGGAGUAGAAUUUUAUCCCCUCUUUAUCUCUCUUUCUUUCCCUUCUUUCUAAUUUGAACAGUUUACAAUUAAACCAUGUCAACAUCUUUUAUUGACUUCUUUAUAGAUAGAGAAAGACAAAUAAAAAAGUGUGAGAGAAUGAAAGAAAAAAAUGGAAGGAAUUAGGAGUGGAGACAAUCCUAAUAGAGGUUAAAGAACUCAUUUUCCACAUGCUGGCAUUGGGUAAUAUAUCAAUCAGUUGUUGGAUCUUGAACUCUCUAUAAGUAUCAAACAAAAUGAGUCUACAUGUAUAUAUAUGUGUGUGUGUGUCUAAUGUCCCAUUUAUCGAUCUCACCCAGAAAUCAUAUAAAAUGAGUCCUUCAGAAAUAGCCAUCCUCAUCCUUGUAUUCCUCACAUUCCUAUGGUCUCUCCUCCGCCUAAUCAAUGCCUCCUCAAGGCAAAGCCGAAACUGCCUCCUGGCCCUACGGCACUACCAAUCAUUGGCAAUCUUCAUAUGCUAGGCAACCUCCCACACCGUAGCCUCCAAAACCUGGCAAAAAAAUAUGGACCUAUAAUGUCCAUGCGUCUAGGGUUCAUACCAACCAUAGUGGUCUCAUCUCCCAAAACAGCAAAGCUAUUCCUCAAAACCCACGACAACAUUUUCGCUAGCUGCCCCAAACUCCAAGCCUCCGAGUACAUGGCCUACGGCACGAAGGCCAUGGCCUUUACUGAAUAUGGCCCAUAUUGGCACCGUAUUCGGAAACUCUACACGCUUCAACUUCUUUGUCCCUCGAAAAUCGAGGGUUUUGCUCCGCUAAGAAGGGAGGAGGUAGGGUUGUUGGUGCAGUCCCUGAAGGUAGCUGCGGAGGCGGGCGAGGUGGUGGAUUUUAGUGAGAAGGUCGGUGAGCUUGUUGAGGGAAUCACGUAUAGGAUGGUGUUGGGGAGAAAAAAUGAUGAUAUGUUUGAUCUCAAGGGGAUUAUUGAGGAAGCCCUAUUCUUGACAGGAGCUUUCAACAUUAGUGAUUAUGUGCCUUUCCUUAGUCCACUUGAUCUUCAGGUAUGUUACCCUUCAUUCUUAAAUACAAACUUGAUAGAUGAAUCAAUAAUAAAACUAGCGAAAUGCUAGGAACACCGUAAAGUAGGGACAUUUAUAAUCAUUGCACACACGCUAUUGCUAAGCACAAAUACAAAGUAGAGGCGUUGCAAAUAAGUGCACACACGUAUGGCAACUGAUUUUAGCACUACUCUUCUAAAAAUAUUUAAACUCUAUUAUUUAGAUGACGUAUUUAGAUGACGUAUGUCAACAAAUAAAGUGAACGAGAUUAAUUCAUAGUUUAGGGAAACCGAGCUCUUUUGGAUGUGCUCUUAAAAUGACUUAAAGUGUUUUUGGUAAAAUUAUUUUUAGAAACAAUCCUUAAUAAAAAUGCUAGCAAAUCUUGGAAAAACACUUAAAUGCUUUCUGGAAGAAGCAAAUAUAACUAGUGCUUCUUGUAGAAAGCACUUCAAAUAUUACUUUUAGAAUCCAAAAACAUUUUUUCUAAAAACGCUUUCAGUCAUUUUAAAAAGUAUAUCCAAACACAGCGAGUAACUAGUUCACAUUCGUACAAAUUAAUCUGAGAGGAAUAUCUGUUUACUUUAGCGAGCUCACUUAUCGUCUUUUUGCUGGUGAUAUGAUUCACAAAGUCAAAGCAUCCACAAAUUGUAAAUGCAAAAUCAUAUGAUUCAUAUCGUAUGGUCCAUUCCAUAGCCUGCUGACGAUAAACUAUCUCCUAAUUAGAGAUGUAAAAAUAUAUUUACAUCUCAUCUCAUUUUAUAGUUUCAAGAGGGGUAGAUGGGAGUUCUAUGCUAAUGAGAGUGAUGUAAAUUUGAGCUUUUAUUUAAUUUUCUCUCUUAGAGUAGCGGAGUCCACCAUACAAAAAAUAUACAUCUAUAUAUAUAUAUAAGUUCUUAUUUAUAUUUUCCAAUCAAUAUUUUCCAUCUUUCUGACCAACUUAAAGUAUUAAAUACAAAUUAUAUACAUCCAUAUAUAUAUAAGUUCUUAUUUAUAUUUUCCAAUCAAUAUUUUACAUCUUUCUGACCAACUUAAAGUAUUAAAUACAAAUUGCUCCCUAUCUUAUGCAUUUGGUUGCCAAUGGCAUCCGGGAUAUUAUUACAAUAGCAAUGGAUUUAAUGCAUAAUUCAUUAUUUUAGGAACCUUAAUUUCUGCAAUCAACUAUACAAAUUUAAAAUAUAUUCAACAUGCUCUUUAAGGGAAGAUCUCCAUUUAAAAAAAAAAAUAGUUGUAGGUCUCACUUCACAUCGAACUUCAAUAAUAAGAAUUGUCUAUAUUUUGUCUCUAUUCAUAGGUCAUUCUUGCAAAAAAAUCAAUUCAAUCCAAAAUCAUUUGGUCAUUUGAUUGUCACGAUGAAAUUUUAAUAUAUGUUUCUUAUAACAUAAUGUUCAUCAAUGUCUUGGAGCUCAAUUAGAUUAAUUGAUGCCUCAAACAUUUUUUAUUUGGCUAAUUUUGCAAGAAUGAUUUAAGAGGUACAACUUGAAAAUAGACAAUUAAGAUAUCAUUGAAGUUCAAUGUAGUAUAGACUCCACAACUAAUCUAAAAAUGAGAAUCCCUUCCCUUAAAAGCAUAUGUUACAUGUAUGUGUUUUUUUUUUCUUAUCCUUCAUAAAGGAUGUAAUACUAAUACUAAGGAUUUUAUUUUACCAUUGAAAAUGAGGAUUUUACAAAAAUUCAAAAGAUAAAAUGCUAGUAAAUAUGUAGAUAUAGAUUUUGAGGCCUUACGUAGUGGGUAAAAUUGAGUUUAAGUCCAAUUUUAUAAGAAUCAAACUCCUAGGGCGGAAAAUUUGCAUUUUACAUGAGUGACUCCGAUUAUUGAGUUUAAUAAUUACUAAUGACUUUAAUUCCAAUAAAUGAUCAACCAUUUGACAGAGAAAAAUAGAGAUUAAUACAUAAAAUAAGGAAAAAAAAGUCCAAUAAUAUUAUAGGAAUCAAACUCAACGUACAUGAUUAUAUAUAGGAAUGAAACUAAACAAAACUAACGUUUCUCUCUGUAAUUGUUCUUUCAUCUCAGAAAAAAGGGUUGCACAUGAUCCCUUAUACCCAUGUGAGAGUGUCACCGUAUGUGCACAUGAUCCCUUAUACCCAUGUGAGAGUGUCACCGUAUGUGCCUAUCCUCACCCAAAAGUUACUCCAAAAAUACAAGAUGUAAUAGCUUUUAUAUAUGCAUUCAUGUCUUGUCCAUUUCAUUGUCUAAUAAAAAUGAUAGCUACAGUACUCAACUAGAAGUACAUAUGAUUGAUUGAUUGUAUGGAAUCUUAACUAUUUCUUCCACUUAGGGAUUGACCAAGCGCAUGAAGAGAGUUAGCAAAACUGUCGACCAACUACUCGAAAAGAUAAUUAAGGAUCAUGAACAAGUUUCCAGAAGUGAGGUACAAGGCAAUCAUCAUAAGGACUUUGUAGACGUGCUGCUUUCAUCAAUCCACCAACCAUUAAACCCCAACGAUGAGGAAGUCUACAUGCUCGAGCGAACAAAUGCCAAAGCCAUUUUACUCGACAUGAUUGCGGGUGCCUUUGACACCUCAGCCACGGCGAUUGUCUGGACCCUGGCAGAACUCUUGAGGCACCCGAAAGUAAUGAAACGUCUCCAAGAAGAGCUCCAGAGUGUGAUCGGGAUGGAUCGAAUGGUGGAAGAAAGUGAUUUGCCAAAGCUGGAUUACUUGAGCAUGGUGGUCAAGGAGAGCUUAAGGCUAAACCCAGUUGCCCCAUUACUAGUCCCUCAUCAAUCCAUGGAGGACAUUACGGUUGAUGGAUAUCACAUACCCAAGAAAUCAAGAGUCUUUAUCAAUAUUUGGACCAUUGGGAGGGAUCCAAGUGUAUGGUCAGAUAAUGUGGAAGAAUUCUACCCUGAAAAGUUUAUGAAUAAUAACGUUGACCUACGUGGACAUGACUUCCAGCUCAUACCAUUUGGGUCUGGUCGAAGAGGGUGCCCUGCUAUGCAAUUAGGGUUAACCACAGUUCGUCCUGUUCUGGGAAACUUGUUGCACUGCUUCAACUGGGAGCUCCCUAGUGGAAUGCUACCUAAAGACUUGGACAUGACUGAGAAAUUCGGCUUAUCGUUGUCGAAAGCCAAACACUUGCUUGCCAUGUCGACCUGUCGCCUGUACAAUGGAAGUUGAUGAUUGGUUUAUUACUUAAGCGUUGAUAGAUGUACUUAUUUCUAUUGGUCACACAUCAUUUAGUUUACAAUUUUAAUCUCUAAAUUUAGUUUCUGUAGCAUUACUCCCUUAAUAUAUAUAUAUAUAUAUAUAUAUAUAUAUAUAUAUAGUAUGUCUAGGCAUAAAUAAACAUUAAUUAACCGUAUAAUUUAGAUUAAUGCAAGUGUCUUGUAGCUCAAUUGAUUAAAAAUAUUAUUCCUUGCCCUUGAGGUCGCUUGUUCGAUUUUCCCUCCCGUAAAAAAUAAUUUGCUUGUCAUCAUGCCCACCUACGUACGUACCGCCUAAACGGUCAACCUUAGUAAGGGGUUGAAAUAAAUGUCUUGUAGUUAUAAUAGUGUUCCUUUGAGUAAUGUUAGAGAGACUAAAUUUGUAGACUAAUUUGCAAACUAAAUGAAAUGUCACAAAUAGGAAAUGAAUAUGUUUAUCAACGUUUAAAUGAUAAUCCAAUUAUCAACUUCCAUAUCAUUUAAUUUACAAAAUUUAAUCUGCCUAUCAUUACUCGUGUUCCUUUUGCCACCUCUGACUAGGAAAGAUUAAAAUAAUUACAUCGUUAAAGUGUUAACCAUAAUACGUUUUUCGUUCUCUUAAUUGAUCUUUAGAAUUAUCUUAUACGUUUUUCAUUCUCUUAAUUGAUGUACAAUUGGAGAUGGUUUAGAUUAAUAUUUCAAUAAUUGCGCCCUUUUUACUUACUUAUCUAAGUUUAUCACUUUAUGUGUGUUUCCCUAGUUUGUUUUGUCUUUUGGGUUUUGCACUUAGGUUUCAUUCAUUCGUUCAUUAUUUCUUUCAUUAUUUCUUUCUUUCCUUCUUCCCACCAUUCUUCUUUCUUUUUUCCCUUUAUAUUUUCUCCACAACUAAAACACAAAAUGUAGAAACUAAAAAUCAAAUAGUCAUCAGACGAGUGCUUAAAUUUUAUUCUCUUAAAAUAUACUUGUUCUCUGGAACUCUCUCAUGUAGCACCCAUCUCGCUAUUUUUUUCUUCUUAUAAUACCACGAUAUGUUGACACCAAAGGAUGAGACAAUAAAUCGGUAUCAAACUUGUCAUUCAUAAGAUUCGAACCUAAGACCUCUCACUUACAAGUGAAUGGUAGUAAAGGAGAAUAUUGUGGUAGCAAAAAUCUAUUGUUUUCGGCCUAGACGAAUUUUUACCUACAAAACAAAUAAACACCUGUGAUCAAAGACAAAGCCCCACACCCAAAGAGUGAGAGGUUUGGCCAAUGGAUCUUCAAUGCCUAAGUCAAUUUCUCUAAAAAGAGAGAGGUUUAGGGCUUAAUUGUGCAGCAAAAGUUUACUAAAAUUUGGUGGAGAAUGGGGUAUUUAUAGGAGCUAGGGUCGCCAUGGAGGAGAGAGAUCUCGCGCUAUGUAUCGUCAUCCAGUUGGCCAAGGUGUGUCAUCCGUUGGAUGGAGUAGGAAAGAAUUAUCCCAAUGAUAUUAUUGAAUAAAUAAUAUCUUAGAAUUAUCUUGUGGAUCCUUGAUUGGAUUUGAUGAAAAUUUCUUGCUUGAUUAUGUAUUGUAGUCAAAUCUCAUAUUUGCACUCGAAUAUAUCAAUGUUACGUAGGUGCAAUUAAGAUAUUUGCCCAAGUUUCAUAUAACCUAUCAGGCACAUGCUUUAACUAGCUUUGGCAAAAUUCUACGAAAAUUUACGAAACCACUAUUUUCAAAGAAUUUUUUUCCACACAACAAGCUUUUUAAAAUUCUUGCUAGACAAUGUAAAGAAGUCUGGAAACGAUAGUAAUGCCAAUUCCAAAGGGCAUUACGUUUUCCUUAUUACUGGCGUAAGGGUUGCAUUUUUCAUAAAAAUUAUUGCUCAUGCUUUUUAAUCGGUUUUUUAUAAACCAACAACAAUUCAUUUUAAAGACUAAGCCGAUCCGUUUACACAGGUAUAUGGUAAACUCCAUACAGUCGCCACACAGACAACGUUCCGUACGUUAUCUUGAAUAAUAGCCAUCGUCCCUUAGGUUAGGUGGAGACAAUCGCUCUGGUAAUGUCUCAUCCGCCAAAACACCAGAAAUUAACCGCAUGCAGUUUGGUUACUUUGGUAUUGCCAGCCAUUUGGUUCUUGUUCAUUUGUUCCUCCAUGUGAUGAACGUGAAAAGUUGAAAACACGGCAUAUAUGUACAACUAGAACAAGACAUGCAGUGUUACUUUCAACAGGUGGCACGUGCUUUGCUACCUCACACUAUCCUCAUUGAAUCCAUAUCCAUCCAUAUUCAAUCAACUCUUGUGCAUUAAGGAUCUUUACGCUUCUUCAAAAUUCUUUCUCUCAAUUUCAUGAAAAUUGCAGAGAGAUGGGCGUAGCUAUUAACAGAACUAUGAAUCUUUAAAGAACACUAUGAACAAGCAGAAAGAAAGAAAACGGAAGAACAAAGUAUAUCUAAUCUCUUAGUAAUGAAGUGUUUUUACAAAGCUUUUCUUACCGAAUGUGAAAAGAUCAAAUGGCUAUAUGUACUAACCAAUCACAAUCUACAAUUACAAUAUUAUCCUUUAACCUCCUUACUCAAUUACAAUCUUAUCCUCUUUAACAAACUCAAUUCCCAACUACCUUUGUAACUAACUUGACUUAUACCUCCUUGCCAGGUGUCAUUGGUUAAUACUCCCCCCUCAAACAUAGCUGGGGAAGUCCCAAGCUAUGGUUGUGAGUUGUUGUGAUCAUUGGAUGUAUGUGCACUUGAAAACUUCAACAUUGCUUGAUGGCUAUCCUGCACCCUGGAAUUGGAAGCUCCCAGUGUAAGAUUAAUACAAUGUUUGACAAAGAUCGGACUGUGAAGACCCUUAGUAAAUACAUCUGCAACCUGCUCUUCAGUUGGGAUAUAAUGCACAGUGAUAUCACCUUUCUGCACUUUCUCUCAAACAAAAUGAAAAUUGGUAUCUAAAUGUUUGAUCCGAGAAUGAAACACUGGAUUGGAGCACAGUGCUAAAGCAGAGAGAUUAUCACAAUGAAGUUUAGGUGGUAUUGGUAUAAACUGAUGCACAUUUUUUAGUAAUGACCUGAUCCAGUAGAUAUCAGCUACACAGUGAGCUAAAGCUUUGUAUUCAACUUCUGUUGAACUUCGAGAUACUGUAGCUUUUUUCUUUGACUGCCAUGAUACAAGAUUAGAUCCAAUAAACACAACAAAUCCAGUAAUAGAUCUCCUUGUAUUUAUAUCGGCUGCCCAAUUAGAAUCAAAAUAUGCAGCAAUUUGAAAAUCAGAUGUUUUGAUAUACUUCAAACCACAGUCUAAGGUUCCUUACAAAUAUCUCAUGAUUCGUUUCACCAGAUGCAUGUGCAAAUCUGUUAGAUGAGUCAUAUACUGACAAACAACAUUAACAGAAUGAGCAAUAUCUGGGCGAGUGAAGGUGAGGUACUGAAGGGCUCCCAUAAGACUUCGAUAAUGAGUAGGAUCAGCUAAACCAUUGCCUUCAUUCACAAGUAACUAAGAGUGAGGCUUAAAUGGUGUUGAUGUGGAUUUACAAUUCUCCAUCCCUGCUUUCUUGAGUAGCUCUUUGGCAUAUUUGGAUUGUGUUACCAUCAAUGAACCAUCAGAAUUAUAGUGAAUUUGCAAUUCCAAGAAAUAUGUUAAUCUGCCCAUAUCCUUUAAAUCAAACACUUCAGCAAGACUAGUGAUAACAAAUUGAAUCUUUUGGGAGGAUGAACCUGUGAGGAUAAUGUCAUCUAUAUAGAGAAGAAGUAGAAUAACAUCCCCAUCCCCAUCGUCAACAUUUACAAACAAACUAGAAUCGGAUAAUGCAGUUUUAAACCCAAGUGCACGAAGAAAGCUUGUAAAUUUUGAAUUCCAGGCCCUUGAUGCCUGUUUAAGACCAUACAAGGACUUAACUAACCGGCAAACAUGAUUUGGAUAUGUAGUAUCAAGAAACCCCUGUGGCUGCUUCAUAUAUACUUCUUCGUCAAGAUCACCAUGAAGGAAAGCAUUCUUGAUAUCCAAUUGUCUCAAGUUCCAAUUAAAUUGUACUGCCAAAGCAAGAAUUAUUUUGACUGUAGUAUGCCUGACCAUUGGACUGAAUGUCUCAGAAUAGUCCAAGCCCUUAUUUUGACUAAACCCUUGUGCCACUAAUCGUGCCUUAUACCUGGAUAUAGUGCCAUCUAAAUUUCGUUUGAUUUUAUAGACCCAUUUACUCCCAAUAACUUCUCUAUUGGAUGGAAGAGGAACUAGUCUCCAGGUCCCUUGAGCCUUUAAGGCAUCAAAUUCCUCCUGCAUAGCCUGCUGCCACUGAGUGACUUUUGAUGCAGCUCGAAAGUGUUUUGGUUCUUCACUCUCUCCAAUAUCAGCAAGGAAAGAGAAACCACAAUGAUCCAUUGUAGUAGCAGAGACUAAAGAAGGUCCAAUAUUAACAGAACUAUGAAUCUCUAAAGAACACUAUGAACAAGCAGAAAGAAAAAAAAAACGGAAGAACAAAGUAUAUCUAAUCUCUUAGUAAUGAACUGUUUUUACAAAGCUUUUCUUACCGAAUGUGAAAAGAUCAAAUGGCUAUAUGUACUAACCAAUCACAAUUUACAAUUACAAUAUUACCCUCUAACCUCCUUACUCAAUUACAAUCUCAUCCUCUUUAACAAACUCAAUUCCCAACUACCUUUGUAACUAACUUGACCUACACCUCCUUGCCAGGUGUCAUUGGUUAAUAGUAGCUGCAUGAGUACAAGUCGAAAUAUUAUUGUUUAUAUAAAACAAUUCAUAUAAAUUCGAUUUUUUUUUUUUUUGCGAUCAUUUGGUUAAAUUUCGUUUUGCAUGUAGUGGGGUAGAAUAGAAUUCUCUCCCCUCAUAAUCUCUCUUCUUUUUCCUCCUCUUCUAUUGGAACGGUUACGAUUAAGAAAAUUCUUGCUAAAAAAUGUAAAGGAGUUUGGAAACGAUACUAAUUAAGGUUUCCUUACUGGCUUUACAAAUUGCAUUUUUCACCAAAAUAGUUGCUCACGUUUUUUAAUCGAUUUUUCUAAAUAAAAAAAACAACAAUUCAUUUUAGAACUAAGCCGAUCUGUUUACACAUGUGUAUGUGUAAACUUCAUAUAGUCAGUGACAUACCCCGACCGAGAUCGAGGCAUGCUAGCCGUCAUGUGAGGGUGACGUAGCCACGUGCACAGUGCGGAAGCAAUAAAGAUAAGAAAUAUACGAAUAAAUAAAAACCGAAAGCUACUAAUGUGCACUAAUAAACAGGAAGUGCUAGGAGUGAGAUACAAGUGUAAAUACUCCUAAUCAGAGCAUAGAAAGUCUAGGUGCAGUCCAAUAGGACAAGUACUAGUUAUACAAUACCAGAAGAUGUCCUAUAAAUAUUUUAUUCUGUCAAAACUGCUAAGAUCCUCAAUGUCACCAACAACAAAUCUAACUAAAACCUAAAGGCGCACAAAACAGAAAAUAUGAGUGGGCACAAACAAAGAUUUUCAAAACCAUUUCAUUUAUCAAACGCUUUAACCACUCGCCGUAAAACAUGUAUAAUUUUUCCUAGAAAUAGAAUAUAAACAUAUGCAUAUAUAUAUAUAUAUAUAUAUAUAUCAAUUUAAAUGAUGCUUCACAUAACCAUAUUCAUAAGUAUGUCAUGCCAAAACAUAAAAUAGAAUAAGUAACUUAGGUGAGAAUAAAUUCAUGGAAAAUAACAUAUUAGCCGGAACCCCUGUAGAAGUUUGUACGGCUAAAUUCAUAGCUCAUUAGUCAAUCUAACCGGAGUCACUACAAUGACCUAUACGACACUACACUGCAUACAAGUCGGAACCACUAAAAUGGUCUGUACGACAAGACUGGGUGUAAUAUAAUUAUGCUCCAUACUACUCUCUCAUGAUAGCUGGGCGAUAAAUCGCUAGUCACCUACGAGUCGGAACCACCUAUGAUGGUCUAUAAGACAAGACUAUGCACCUAAAUUGGAUCCAAUGUGAGCAUAUGAUGCGGGAGGUGACAUUAUAAACAGGUUUGUGUCAUAUCUCUGGCUAAAUCACUAACACCGGGGUGUAGGUUUAUGAGCUCAAUAUUUCUCAAUUAAUCACAACCGUUAAUCACAUUCACAAUUCAUAAACUCACUCGGGCUUACCAGACCAUCCACAGCACCACAAUUAUAUAUAUAUAUAUAUGCAAACAUCAUAUGCAUAUUCUAAAUAUAAAACGUUUGGCAUAGAUCAAAUUAUAACUCAUUUAAAUGCAUUUUUUGGGAAAUAUCAAGCAUAUACAUAUAUACUUAAAACCAAAGCCCACUCACUGGUAUGUCGAAGGGUCGUAGCCCCCGAGUCACCCUUGACUGCGCUCGUCCUCGGGAUAAGUCUCCCCUAUAUGCAAAACAACUAUGAAAACGUUAAUUUAAAGCACAUAACCAAUACUAGCUAAUAAUUUCUCAUAAAUUGCUCUAAUGGGAUGUUUGAAUAUACCAACGCGAUCUACACAACCUCACGAACAUCCCCAUAGUUUUAAAAUAAUUUUUCAACAUCCCACGCGUCGGCAAGGGCACGACAACACGCGCAGCCAGGCGCAGGGACCCUAACGGAAUCCCUUAACCCCGUUAGGAAUAUUCCGUUAAAUAGUAACAGAAUCCGCUAAACUAACCAACGCUGUUAGGAAUAUUUGGUCAAAGUUGACGGAAUAUUCUAUCAUCUCCUACCUUCGAACUCCGGCAACCGUCGCCGUCGCCGUCGCAAAAAACUGGGAAAAUCUUAUAAUCCUUAUAUGUCUGUCGUUUCUUAACCAAAACUUAUGAAAUUGGUCUCAAUUUAAAGCUUAUAACUAGAAGAACACAUCCUUACCAAUUUCAAGGCUUGAAAUCCACGAAAGCUCGCCGGAGAGAGCUCGAUAAUUCCGGCCAAAUUUCAAACUCUCCAAACUCAACUUCCUGACGUCCAAUUUGCUUGAUUUUUCUUCUCUGAGCUUAGUACGAACGUCCUAAAGCUUCCUAUAAGCUUAAAAUCACCUGAAAUAUCCAUAAUUACGACCACAUGAACAGUACUCAAAUCGGGGGUGAUGGUUCCUCGGGUUUUUGAAGGUUUCACGAUUUACAAAUGGCAUAUAUGAACUCAGGGACUUGCAAGGAGUUCAAAUCUUACCUUCUUGACGUCGAUCCAUGCGUAAAAUGUGAGUUUGGAGUUCAUCCAUACAUUUUGUACGAAAAUGGUAUGAAGGCCGAGAGAAGGAGAGAACGCACGAGGUGUUUUUUGUGUGUGUGUGUGUGUGUGUCCUCACUUGGUCACCCAACAAAACAACACCUAAGUUUAAUUUUUUACUUGAGUCCAAAACUUAGGAACUCAACAUAGUAGUCUACAUUCCAAAAGCAUGUCACACACGUCACAAUCUUGACAUCCAAGGGUAAAAUCAUCAUUUCACACCGUCAAAACUAAAUGUUUCGGGACGGGCUGUGACAAUCUAAAUUGUCACAUCCUGGCCCGGUCCCCCACCAUAUCCCGGGCUCAACUCUGCCGUAGCACGAUAUUGUCCACUUUGGGCCCCGACCACGCCCUCACGGUUUUGUUUCUAGGAACUCACAUGAGAACUUCCCAGUGGGUCACCCAUCCUGAGAUUGCUCUCGUGCGAACUCACUUAACUUCAGAGUUCCAAUGGAACUUGAAGCCAGUGAGCUCCCAAAAGGCCUCUUGCUAGGUAGAGAUGGGAAUAUACAUAUAAGAUUUAGAUGAUCCACUCUCCUGGGCGAUGUGGGAUGUUACAGUCAGCACACAAACAAUGCUUCAUACGUUAUCUUGAACUAGCAUCUUGUCGUACGCGUAUGCAUGUUACAAAAUAUAUUAAGAAAUUCAAUUUUUUAUUUAUUUAUAUAUUUUUGAAAAUAAAUUAGAAGUUAAACAUAAACCAUCCACUAACAUGGGGUUUUGUUAUUUUUUUCUUUCUAAGUUUAAAAUUUUAAAUUCGUUCAAAAUUAAUAUUUGUUGAAUUAUUUUAACUCCUUUUAAUUCAAUAGUAAUUUAAAAAAAAAAUUGGAGGCAAUUUAUGGUAUUUUGAAAUUAACCUGCAUGCAUGCAGUUUGACUACUUUGGCCUCCCAGCCAGUCGGUUCUUGUCCAUUUUUUCCACCCUGUUAUGAAAGUGAAAUAUACCUAUAGCUAUAAUGUACUACGAGAACAUGAGACAUGCAGUGUUACUUUCAACAGGUGGUACGCCUUGCUACCUCACACUUAUCCUCCUUGAAUCCAUAUCUACACAUUCAAUCAACUCUUGUGCAUUACGUACGUCGCUAUGCUUCUUCAAAAGUCUCUCAAUUUCAUAAAAAUUGCAGAGCUGGGUGUAGCUACAUAAGCUGCAAAAGCACAAAUCGAAGUAUUAUUGCUUAUAUAAAAGAAUUCAUAUAACUUUGCUUUCUUCUUUUUUUUUUCUUUUUUUUUUUUAGACCAUACGGUUAAAUUUCAUUUUGCAUGUCUUAGGGUAAAGGGAGUUAUGAUUUUCUCUCCUUCUAAUCUCUCUCCCCUUUCUUCCCAUCUUAUUUGAAUAGUUACGAUUAAGUCAUAUCAACAUCUUAUAUUGAUUUCUUUAUAGAGAGAGAAAGACAAAGAUGAAAGUGUGAGAAGAGGGGAGGAAAAUGGGGAGGAUUAGGGGGGAAAGAAUUGUAGUCCAGGGUAAAGAACUCAUUCACAUGCAAGAUUUGAGUCCAUUAUCAAUCAGCCGUUGGAUCUUGAACUCUCUAUAAGUAUGAAACAAAAUGAGUCCAUCUAUCUCACCCAAAAAUCAAUAAAAAAAGAUUCCAUCAGAAAUAGCCAUCCUAAUCCUUGUAUUUCCUUGCCUUCCUGUGGUCUCUCCUCUGCAUCCUAAUCAAUGUCUUCUCAAGGAAAAGCAAAAAACUACCUCCUGGCCCUAGGGCACUACCAAUCAUUGGCAAUCUUCAUAUGCUAGGCGACCUCCCACACUGCAGCCUCCAAAACCUAGCAAAAAAAUAUGGACCUAUACUGUCGAUGCGUCUAGGGUUCAUACCAACCAUAGUGGUCUCAUCUCCCCAAGCAGCAGAGCUAUUCCUCAAAACCCACGACACCAUUUUUGCUAGCCGCCCCAACAUUGGUGUUAUGUGCCUUUCCUUAGUCCACUUGAUCUUCAGGUAUGUUACCCUUCAUUGUUAAUUACCAAACUUUACCCUUCAUUGUUAAUUACCAAACUUGUUACAUGAAAAAAGUAUCUAGGAGACCGGCCAAUGUCCACUUCUAACAAUACUAAUAUUGUCUUUAACUUGUUGAUUACUACAUGCUCAGUCCGACAAGUAUGAAGGUUUAUUAUAAAAGACUUCAGUAUUAGUUGAAAGAGUUAAAAUAUUUGAACUUUUUUUUUCUUUGUCUCUGUCCAAUGUCAGAUAGUUAAACAUACCCUCUUACGUAAGACCCAUUUAGUGGGUCAUACGUGAGAAAUCCACACAUCGGCAACCAUGUGGAGCCAAAUUAUAACCUCUCUAAAUAAUUAUUAAAAAAAUAAAUAAUUUAAUCAUAACAUUUGUAAAAUUUACUAUCGUUUCCAAACUUCUUUACAUUGUCUGGCAAGAAUUUUAACAAGCUUGUGGUGUGGAAAAAAAUUCUUUGAAAAUAGUGCUUUGUAUAAUUUUCUUAGAAUUUUGUCAAAACUAAUUAAAGCCUGUGUGUAACACUUUAGAUGAAACUUGGGUAAAUAUCUUAUGUUGCACCUGCGUAAAAUUGAUAUAUUUGAGUGAAUCACGUGGAAAAGUUGAAAACGCAGCAUGUAAGUACAACUAGAACAAGACAUGUUACUUUCAAAAGAUGGCACACGUAUCCUCAUGUUGUCCAUAUCCAUCCAUAUUCAAUGAACUCUUGUGCAUUCCGCCCCCACCCACCCACCACCCCCCACCCCAAAACCAAGAAAAGUGAAUCACGUGGAAAAGUUGAAAACACAGCAUGUAUGUACAACUAGAACAAGACAUGUUACCUUCAAAAGAUGGCACACGUAUCCUCAUGUUGUCCAUAUCCAUCCAUAUUCAAUCAACUCUUGUGCAUUCUUCUUCAAAAUUCUCUCUCAAUUUCAUGAAAAUUACAGAAGUAGGCGUAGGGUAAAGGGAGUAAAAUUGUAUCCCCUCUUUAUCUCUCUUCCUUUUUCUUCUCUCCAAUUUGAACGGUUUACAAUUAAACCAUGUCAACAUCUUUUAUUGACUUCUUUAUAGAUAGAGAAAGACAAAGAAAAAAGUGUGAGAGAAGGAAAGAAAAAGGGGAAGGAAUUAGGAGUGGAGACAAUCCUAAUGGAGGUUAAAGAACUCAUUUGCCACAUGCUAGCAUUUGGUAAUAUAUCAAUUAGUUGUUAGAUCUUGAACUCUCUAUAAGUAUCAAACAAAAUGAGUCUACAUGUAUAUAUAUGUGUGUGUGUCUAAUGUCCCAUUUAUCGAUCUCACCCAGAAAUCAUAUAAAAUGAGUCCUUCAGAAAUAGCCAUCCUCAUCCUUGUAUUCCUCACAUUCCUAUGGUCUCUCCUCCACCUAAUCAAUGCCUCCUCAAGGCAAAGCCGAAAACUGCCACCUGGCCCUACACCACUGCCAAUCAUUGGCAAUCUUCAUAUGCUAGGCGACCUCCCACACCGUAGCCUCCAAAACCUGGCAAAAAAAUAUGGACCUAUAAUGUCCAUGCGUCUAGGGUUCAUACCAACCAUAGUGGUCUCAUCUCCCAAAGCAGCAAAGCUAUUCCUCAAAACGCAUGACACCAUUUUCGCUAGCCGCCCCAAACUCCAAGCCUUCGAGUACAUGGCUUACGGCUCGAAGGUCAUGGCCUUUAUUGAAUAUGGGCCAUACUGGCGCCAUAUUCGGAAACUUUGCACACUUCAACUUCUUUGUCCCUCGAAAAUUGAGGGUUUUGCUCCGCUAAGAAGGGAGGAGGUAGGGUUGUUAGUGCAGUCCCUGAAGGUAGCUGCGGAGGGGGGCGAGGUGGUGGAUUUUAGUGAGAAGGUUGGUGAGCUUGUUGAGGGAAUCACGUAUAGGAUGGUGUUGGGGAGAAAAAAUGAUGAUAUGUUUGAUCUCAAGGGGAUUAUUGAGGAAGCCCUAUUCUUGACAGGAGCUUUCAACAUUAGUGAUUAUGUGCCUUUCCUUAGUCCACUUGAUCUUCAGGUAUGUUACCCUUCAUUCUUAACUACCAAACUUGUUAGAUGAAUCAAUAAUAAAACUAGGGAAAUGCUUGGACCACUGUAAAGUAGGGACAUUUAGAUUGCACGCACGCUAUUGCUAAGCACAAAUACAAAGUAGAGGCGUUGCAAAUAAGUGCAUGCACGUAUGCGCGACUGAUCUUAGCACUACUCCUCUAAAAAUAUUUGAACUCUAUUAUUUAGAUGACGUAUUUCGAUGGAUCCAUCAACAGGAGCAAAAGCAGUGUUAGCAAAUAAAGUGAACGAGAUUAACUCGUAGUUUUAGGAAACUGAGCUCGUUUGGAUGUAGUUUUAAAAUGACUAAAAGUGUUUUUGGUAAAAUUAUUUUUAGAAACAAUCCUUCAUAAAAACGCUAACAGAUCUUGGAAAAGCAUUUAAAGUGCUUUCUGGAAGAAGCAAGUAUAACUAGUGCUUCUUGUAGAAAGCACUUCAAAUAUUGCUUUUGGAAUCCAAAAACAAUUUUUCUAUAAGCGCUUUCAAUCAUUUUAAUAGCAUAUCCAAACUCAGCCAAUAACUAGUCCGCAUUCGUACAAAUUAAUCUGAGAGGAAUAUCUGUUUACCUUAGCCAGCUAACUUAUCGUCUUUUUGCUGGUGAUAUGAUUCACAAAGUCUAAGCAUCCACAAAUUAUAAAUGCAAUACCAUAUGAUUCAUAUCGUAUGGUCCAUUCCAUAGCCUGCUGACGAUAAACUAUCUUCUAAUUCGAGAUGUAGAAACAUAUUUACAUCUUAUUUUAUAGUUUCAAGAGGUGUAGAUGGAAGUUCUAUGCUAAUGAGAGUGAUGUAAAUUUGAGCUUUUAUUUAAUUUUCUCUCUUAGAGUAGCGGAGUCCACCAUAAAAAAAAUAUACAUCCAUAUAUAUAAGUUCUUAUUUAUAUUUUCCAAAUCAAUAUUUUACAUCUUUCUGACCAACUUAAAGUAUUAAAUACAAAUUGCUCCCUAUCUUAUGCAUUUGGUUGCCAAUGCCAUCCGGGAUAUUAUUACAAUAGCAAUGGAUUUAAUGCACAAUUCAUUAUUUUAGGAACCUUAAUUUCUGCAAUCAACUAUACAAAUUUAAAAUAUAUUCAACAGGCUCUUUUAAGGGAAGAUCUCCAUUUAAAAAAUAAAUAAAAAAUAAAAAUUAGUUGUAGGGCUCAUCCCACAUCAAACUUCAAUAAUAAGAAUUGUCUAUAUUUUAUCUCUAUUCAUAGGUCAUUCUUGCAAAAAAACAAUUCAAUCCGAAAUCAUUUGGUCAUUUGAUUGUCACGAUGAAAUUUUAAAGUUUCUUAUAACAUAAUGUUCGUCAAUGUCUUGGAGCUCAAUUAGAUUAAUUGAUGCCUCAAACAUUUUUUAUUUGGCUAAUUUUGCAAGAAUGAUUUAAGAGGUACAACUUGAAUUGAAAAUAGACAAUUCGGAUAUCAUUGAAGUUCAAUGUCGUAUAAGACUGCACAAGUAAUCUAAAAAAUGAGAAUCCCUUCCCUUAAAACCAUAUGUUACAUGUAUGUUUUUUUUUUCUUCUUAUCCUUCAUAAAGGAUGUAAUACUAGUAAUAAGGAUUUUAUUUUACCAUUGAAAAUGAGGAUUUUACAAAAAUUCAAAAGAUAAAAUGCUAGUAAAUAUGUAGAUAUAGAUUUUGAGGCCUUACGUAGUUGGGUAAAAUUGAGUUUAAUUCCAAUUUUAUAAGAAUCAAACUCCUAGGGUGGAAAAUUUGCAUUUUACAUGAGUGACUCCGAUUAUUGAGUUUAAUAAUUACCAAUGACUUUAAUUCCAAUAAAUGAUCAACCAUUUGACAGAGAAAAAUAGAGAUUAAUACAUAAAAUAAGGAAAACAAAAGUCCAAUAAUAUUAUAGGAAUCAAACUCAACGUACAUGAUUAUAUGUGGGAAUGAAACUAAACAAAACUAACGUUUCUCUCUGUAAUUGUUCUUUCAUCUCAGAAAAAAGGGUUGCACAUGAUCCCUUAUACCCAUGUGAGUGUGUCACCGUAUAUGCCUAUCCUCACCCAAAAGUUACUCCAAAAAUACAAGAUGUAAUAGCUUUUAUAUAUGCAUGCAUGUCUUGUCCAUUUCAUUGUCUAAUAAAAAUGAUAGCUACAGUACUCAACUAGAAGUACAUAUGAUUGAUUGAUUGUAUGGAAUAUUAACUAUUUCUUCCACUUAGGGAUUGACCAAGCGCAUGAAGAGAGUUAGCAAAAUUGUCGACCAACUACUCGAAAAGAUAAUUCAGGAUCAUGAACAAGUUUCCAGAAGUGAGGUACAAGGCAAUCAUCAUAAGGACUUUGUAGACGUGCUACUUUCAUCAAUCCACCAACCAUUAAACCCCAACAAUGAGGAAGUCUACAUGCUCGAGCGAACAAAUGUCAAAGCCAUUUUACUCGACAUGAUUGUGGGUGCCCUUGACACCUCAACCACGGCAAUUGUCUGGACCCUGGCCGAACUCUUGAGGCACCCGAAAGUAAUGAAACGUCUCCAAGAAGAGCUCAAGAGUGUGAUCAGGAUGGAUCGAAUGGUGGAAGAAAGUGAUUUGCCAAAGCUGGAUUACUUGAGCACGGUUGUCAAGGAUAGCUUAAGGCUACACCCAAUUGCCCCAUUACUAGUCCCUCAUCAAUCCAUGGAGGACAUUACAGUUGAUGGAUAUCACAUACCUAAGAAAUCAAGAGUUUUUAUCAAUAUUUGGACCAUUGGGAGGGAUCCAAGUGUAUGGUCAGAUAAUGUGGAAGAAUUUUACAAUGAAAGGUUUAUGAAUAAUAACGUUGACCUACGUGGACAUGACUUCCAGCUCAUACCAUUUGGGUCUGGUCGAAGAGGGUGCCCUGCUAUGCAAUUAGGGUUAACCACAGUUCGUCUUGUUCUGGGAAACUUGUUGCACUGCUUCAACUGGGAGCUCCCUAGUGGAAUGCUACCUAAAGACUUGGACAUGACUGAGAAAUUUGGCUUAUCGUUGUCGAAAGCCAAACACUUGCUUGCCAUGCCGACGUGCCGUUUGUACAAUGGAAGUUGAUGAUUGGUUUAUUAGUUAAGCUUUGAUAGAUGUGCCCAUUUCUAUUGGUGACACAUCAUUUAAUUUACAAUUUUAGUCUCUUUAGCAUUACUCCCUUAAUAUAUAUAACAUUAAUUAACCAUA